This 84433-nucleotide long non-coding RNA is filed under the name Prunus persica (peach). Its description in RNAcentral is "long non-coding RNA (PPER_LNC005448)". Lineage: Eukaryota; Viridiplantae; Streptophyta; Magnoliopsida; Rosales; Rosaceae. The record is from RNAcentral.
AUAUAAUAUGUCAUAUACUUCAUAUAUAUUAAGUGGUGGUUUUAUCCCCUCAUUUACCUUAUUUACUGUGUGGUGUAGGUUUAUUACCCCUACAACAGUAUUUAUUUAAAAGUGUGGCGCAGAUUUAUCGUCCACACAAUUGCCUUUAGCAUUUACUUUAUUUACUGUAUGGUGUAGGUUUAUUACCCAUACAACAGUACGUAUUUAAAAGUGUGGCGCGGGUUUAUCGUCCACACAACUGCCUUUAUUUUUUCGUUUAAAAGUAUAGAGUAGAAUUAGUGCCUAUACCAGCACAUUUACUUUUAUUUAAAGUAUGGUGUGGAAUUAACAUUCAUACAACAAAUAAUUUACUUUAUCACACAUUUAUUUUUAUUUAAAGUAUGGUGCGGGUUUAUCGUCCAUACUAGCAAUUUAUUUAUAGUACUUUAUUUUUAUGAAAGAAAUUAUCAUUUAAUAUACAUGAACAAUUAAAGGACCUGAAGUCCCUGUUAAGAAAUGGCUUAAUGUCCCAGAUCCUGAACCUAAAGUUUCGGGUAAAAUAUAUAAUAUAUUUUUGGCCUGAAGUUCAAAAUUAUGUUAAGCCUAAAGAUUAUUGCAAAUUCUAAUACAUCAUUUUCUUUUGAAGAUGGCAAACUUGGCAAAGCUGGAAUUUGCUGCCCUAGACAUAUCUGGGAACAACUAUCUAUCAUGGGUCCUGGAUGCCAAGAUCCAUCUGCGUACCAAUAGCCCUGGAAAACAAUUGUAGGGUAACGUUAGGGACUAUUUUGAUGGAAGCUAACGGCAGAGACUAUUUUGAUGUGUGAAGGGUAACGUUAAGGACCAUUGGUGUCACAAAAAAAAGUUAGGGAUGAAAUGUGAUAAUUUUGCAAACUUAAAGGACCAUUUGUGAUAAAAGGCCUAAUUAUUUAUUGCGCAAUUUUAGGUUGUUAGUUUGCAAAAUUGUUUUAUGGAUGUUCAAUUUUUCUAUCAAUUAGCGAACAUUUUCUCUCUUACUUUACUUAUGUCUUUGUACAUGUUUUCAAGCGCAAGCGUCAAAUCCAGACAACGGAAUUCUUUUCUUGUCAUCACUCAAUAAGUUUUAUUUUGGCAAAGCGUCACUUUUGGUCCCUGUGGUUUAUCAUUUUUACCACUAAGGUCCAUGUGGUUUCAAUUUGAUCAUUUUGCCCCUGUGGUUUUCAAUUUAAGCAAUUCAAGUCCAAUCUCCAAUUUCUAUCAAACUAUUCUCUGCUAGAACUCUGUGACCUCCAUAUCUAAAGACUCAGAAAAAUCCAAACAAGGGAAAAAAAGGUUAAAAAAAAGCUCACUGCUUCCGCGAGUUUCUCGUUCUUCCUUCUCUCUUAUCAACUCUGUCAAGCAAGAACGAAAAGAGAGAAUCCCCAAACGCUCAAAACCGACAUGCAAAGAGACCCUCUAGAGUCAUGAUCAAAGGACAAGACGUGCAUGCAUCAGACAACAGAACAAAAAGUUUGUAUUUUGUUCCUUCUUUUGCUUGUUGGGCUCAGCGUUAUUUCCACUUUCUUCCUUGUUUUUGUUUUGUUUUAUGCUCUGGUUUUGUGUUCUUGCUUAGUACUAAGCUCUCAGAAAAACUGGGUUAUCAGAAAAAUGAUUUAGAUUUUGGAAGCAAACAAGGGCCAGCCCAAAUUACAAAAUAAAAAACAACGGCUGGUCAUGAAUAAAAACCCAGAAUGAAAACAAACAAAAAAAUGGUCAUGAAAGAUGAUCAAUUGAUCAUCGUUAUGUGUGUGCCCUGUCUCUGACUCUUUAUCUCUAUUUUCUUGAUGGGGUUUCUAUCUCUUCUACUCUGUUUCCUUCUCUCUUUAUUUGCCCACUAAAUCAGUUUCUCUCCCAGGUCUCAUGUUUGUACAAAUCACAUGUCUCCCAUCCCAUACAUCAGAAAGCUCUUUUCAACUGAAUAGAUUGAAAAGAGAUGUUAUAAUCAUGCAACCAAGCCAACAGAACUGGAUGAAUACAAAACAACAAAUAAAUGGCAAAAGAAUACAAAAGGCACCGAUUGAAGUGCCGUCAGUUUCCUCUCAUGUCAAAAAGUCGGAAGCUUCACAGCGUAAUCAAAGAAAAAGAGACGAACACAGCUCCACCAACAAAUUGAAGACCAGGAUCAGAACGACGACGAGAUAGAAUAAGUCCAGUGUCAAAUAGCAGUCUCCAACUUCACUGGCGGCUCCAAGACCUUCAAAUAGCAGUCAAGUUCUGCUAUGGCAUUAAGAUCGAGGUGGUGGAGUUUACUGGGUUGGGGAGAUUGGCCGUGUGUGAUAGUUGGCGUGUGGGCUGGUGGGGGUGGGUGUGGCUGACGGCUUCUCUUCCCCUUAUAUUUUUCUUAUUAUUUUUUUUUUUUCCUCUCAUUCUUGUUUUUGGACUUAAAUGCCCCUCAAUAAGUAACCGCAGUUAACCUAAUUUGAUAGAAAUUGAAGAUUUGACUUGAAUUGCUUAAAUUGAAAACCACAAGGGCAAAAAUGAUCAAAUUGAAACCACAGGGACCUUAGUGGUAAAAGUGGUAAACCACAGGGACCAAAAGCGACGUUUUGCCUUUUAUUUUCAUCUUGUUAUUUUCAUGUUGAGGCAUGAAAUUUGGCCAAAGUCUAACGGUGCACCAUCGAGCUACGAGAUCCUCAAGGCUCGCAUCAAAUGAUGUGUCCCUGACGACGUGGGGCUCGAUCCUCUCCUUUUGGGGGCGAAUAUGUACACCGAUGUUGAUAUCCCUGACGGCUCCCUAGUUCUUUCUCCGGCCCAUUUAGAGAACAUUAGGUUUUCACUCCACCCUCUUUUUCGUGUGCUUUUGUUUUAUUUAGGUCUUCACCCCAUGCAACUAAACCCAAAUUCCUAUCUCUCAUAUCCCCUUUUUUGGUCGUUGGGUUGAAAUGUGUUGUGUCUCUUAGCUUUAAAGAUUUCAUUUAUCUCCACGAUGUAGCUUGUGUCAGGGGUAAGAGUCACUAUUUCUAUUUUAUGACUGGGUCUAGUAAAAAAUUGUUUUCUUGUAAACCCACUUCUACUAAGUAUUGGAAAAACCAACCUCUCUUAAUUUCUGGAAGUUGAGCGGCGCCUGAGAUGUCUCACAUACCUAUCCCAUUGGCGUUUGGUCCGAAAUCUGGUAUAAUGUUUGCACUCGCAUUUUCAAAUAUAAUCUACUUAUAUUGGGCGGGUUGAACUAACCUUUUUUUGGCAGCGCUUCCUCCGAACAAAAGGUACAUUAUUCUAAGGACCGGGUCACUUGGUUGAAGGAGAACUUAGCAGGUCAUGGGUGGGACAUUACUUGCUUCGCGAACCCCAAGACUUUUGUCCAUAUCUCUGUUGCCCGUUGCAACACUAUUAUUUCCUGUUCAUAUUGGUUGAUCUAAACUUGCACAAGGUAGAACUAUUCAGGAAUAUUUGCUCCAUCAACGUCAAACUCCGUUGCAUUGAGGAUUCGAUGUCCCUCAUCCAUGCCAGUUUUCAAGAGAGAGAGAGAGGCUGAGGUAGCUAGGCACAACAGCUCGGAAGUAGAGGACAACGCAUCUGAGUCCUAACAUUCAGACAUGUCGGCGCCACGUUCAAUAUCAGUCCCGAGUCGUAGGGAAAUGAGAUCGGGGAAAGAACCCGAGCAAUCCGUGAAGAAGUACCAUCACGCCCCUCAGGUCGUUUAGGUUUGAACUCGCCCAAUGCUGGAUUCACCUUGAGCACUCCAUCUCGCCCGCACCCUCAACAGGAUCCUAUCCCUCGUGUUCCUCCUCUUGCUAGCUCAGGGGGUGAGAAUGAUUUCGAUCCUCUUGAGGUUUGGAGGCUUACAUUCGUGAAGUCGAACAGAAGUUUAGUCACCCUUAGCGACGGACUAUGGUGUAACCUGGGCGCUUUAGAUGUUGUCUUGCGGGGUCUGGCCCGUCCUAGUGAAGACCAACCAUUUGCAAAACAGAACAAGAAGAAAAUAAACAUUAUACAACUAAGAAGCAAGGGCAAUGAUAGCCUUUCCGCAGGUCUGGCCCUUCAGCGGGAAGCGCGUCAAGGAAUGUGAGGUUGAGCUUGAAGGGCAUAGGGGGACCUUCGGAGCCUGUGAAGCGACCGAGACACUGCGUUGUCUGAGGUUGAUUGUCUUAAGCAGGAACUGAGAAAUGCGUCACUCGACAGAGAACUUGAAAAUUUAGUAAAAAAUUUAGAAUAAAUUUUCUACUAAAUAAUUGAUACCAAAGAUUUAUAUUACCUGUUUUAUGCUAUGUAGAUAAUCAAGUGAGAGUGAAACACCCUCCUUUAAAGGAUUUAGUCUGGGCCCCACCCCAAUUCAAUCAGUUUGUUAUAGAAUAUAUGCAAUGCCAAUAAAAAAUUUGGAUAAUGUCCGCAUACAACUUGAAAAUUGUGAAAACGUAUUUCACUAAAACUCCAGCGUCUUGAAGGAUUGUGGUGGUUCCUUUUCUUAGUUUAUAUUUAUACUAUGGAAUGAAGAAGUGCAAUAUUAAAUUGCCACAAUCUCAUGCAAAUUAGUGAAACCAUAAAAGGUAGAGUAUAGAAAUUCUUAUGUUUUGGGGUCUUCAUGCCCCCAUUGUAGUUCGGUUCAAUGGAUUGGUGUGCCCAUUGGAGCACAAGUGAGCAUUCGAUUAUACAGUGUCCAUUGCUCCUCAAUAUGACUUUCUGUACGGUUCCUACAGAUGGCAUCAAUUGUUGGAGCGGAAAAUUUCGGGUCCUUCAAUAAGUAUAAUUUGAUUUCCAUGUUGAAAAGCCGGACACCAUUUCAAUUGUCAUCAGUAAAGGAGGAGGGGGUACCUACAAGAAAACACUACGACACUCAAGUCAAUAAGAAUGUAAUCGCAAGAGAGUUAGAAUUAAAUUGUACCUUAUUUUCCCCUCCCUAUGGAUUGUUAGGUUAAUUGGUCUUUUAUAGGCAUUUGAGUCUUGGGCUUCAAAUUUCAUGUUCCAUGGUUUUCUCCAUGAUCCACAAUCACUCCAUCAUGGGCAUGGUAGUGGGUGAUCAUGUGGGCUUUACCAUGUGGCAUAAAACAUGCUAGCCUUUGAUCAUAGGCAUAAGACAUGUUUGCCUUGGUAGGCCUUGGCCAUAAGUCCCACUAACUAAACCCAUGUCAUUCACUUCUUAAGUUUAGAGUGCUAGUAGAUAAUAUAUUGAGGAGUAAUUUUUGCCCCCCUAGAACCCUUCUUUGAAAAUCAAAUCAGCUGCUGACCAUAGCCCAAGCUUUAUAUUCUUUUAUUGAUUCAUAUCACGUUUACCCUUAAUUAACAUUAUAUGCUAAACCCUAUAGCUAUAUACAUGCAUGAAUAUCUUACUCAAAAGAAGUUAUCCAUUACAGCAAAUUCCAUAUAGGAGUGGUAAUGACCUCUAGGAUUGACAAGGUGUAAGGCUUGGUUACAAAAGGGCUGCGAAUUUUACUCACUAGCGCAUUGCGCCAAGGGUUGCAUGUGAAGGUGGUGCAACAUCAUGCAUGAUUUCACCCUCCAAGUUCAGUCCAAUGUCCACAUGAACGUCAUUAGUACCAGCACCAGCCUUGUGGUACAGAAAAGGCAAAACAGCCACAGCCUCGUUUGAAUCUCCCACCCUACAGAUGAACUAUCCGUAGUUGGUGCCAAAUGCUAUAAACAGUAUAUAUGCACUUAUAUUCAUGGUAAUAUAUUUGGGUCAAUUAAGCAAACCGUAGUUCGUGCCAAAUGUUCUAAAUUCAAAGAACCAUUGAUUGAAUUGCACCUUUUUAUUUUGAUAAAUGAAUUGUUAGAAUAUUGGGGUUAUUUUGGAUUAUAUUAACAUUUCAACACGAAUUGCACCUUAAUUAUAACAAACUAGGCCAUACCAAUCCAAUCCAAGAGACCAAACUACGCCAAUUUGUAUUGCACCUUAAUUGUAACAAACUUGGCCAUGUAAAUACUGACAGCUGCAGCUUGGACCCUUCUAUUCGUUAUGCUGUGAUCAAGCUUGCAAAGAGAGCUGGAUUCUUCAGUUUUGAUAGCAAUGGAAAUCCCACCGAAGAUUUUACUUGUUCUAGGAGGGCAUGCCUUGUGAAAACAGAAGAAGGGUCUUCUGUACACGAAUUGCCAUACCGACUAAAACAGGAGAAUGUUCAAAUUAUAAUCAAUGUCAAUGAGCCUACUCUUGUUUUUAGACCUGAAUGGUUCUCCGAGAUGAAAUACGUCUCAGUUUUGCAGCUUGGGAGAUGGGAGACCUCAGCCAAGUAUCUGAAUCAAGUAGAGGACAGUGAGUUCUUAAAAGGGUUGAAGAAUAUGAGACAGCUUCGGUACUUAAGAACCUGACACACUUGGAUAUGUAUGUGUUACUCGAUCAGCCACAUGCCUAUAGGACUUGCUUUGCUCUCACAACUCCAAGUGCUUAAAGGGUUUGUGAUUGGUGAGCCAAGGCCUGGAGGCAACUACUGUAAGCUGGCUGAUUUGUCAGGCUUGGAAAAUCUGAGGAAAUUGAGUAUCCAUACUAUCCAUGUGGACAUAAACAAAACGUCUGAUGCUGCAAAAAGAGAGCUCAUUUCUUUGGGUGGAAGCCUCUCGGGAAACAAUGCAAAUGGGUUGUCAAAAUGGUGAGCUUGAAGUUCUUGGAAAAGUUGCAGAUGGAUUGGCGGAAAAAAAUAUCUAAGAAAAACCACCCAGACCCGCCUAGGCCGCCUAGGCGGGCGCCUAGCGCCUAGGCCGAAUAUAUAUAUAUAUAUAUAUAUUUUUGUUUUCUUUCUGAUUCAAUCGCCUUUAUGACUCUCCCAAAAAGCCUCCAUCGAUGAUGGCUCUAGUUCCUGUUCCUUUUGAAAAACUUCCUUUGGUGAAACUUAACCUCCAUUACUUCCCUGGUUCUAAGAUUCCUGAUUGGCUGAUGCAAUGGGAAUUGAAUAACCUAAGGAAGCUCUAUAUCAGGGGUGGAAGCCUCUCGGGAAACAAUGCAAAUGGGUUGUCAAAAUGGUGGGCUUGAAGUUCUUGGAAAAGUUGCAGAUGGAUUGGCGGGAAAAAAUAUCUAAGAAAAACCACCCAGACCCGCCUAGGCGGGCGCCUAGCGCCUAGGCCGAAUAUUUUUUAUUUUUUAUUUCUUUCUGAUUCAAUCGCCUUUAAUUUAUGGUGAUACACUGGAAUUCGCGUAAUUGUUUAUAGUUGGUGAUCUUCCUUUUGAAAUACAAGUAUGGGACAGUUGUUAGAGUUGGCCUCCGUCUUCCCCAAUGUACAGAUUCUACAGGGACUAUAUCUGAUGAAGCUGCUUCUGAUAUAUUGCUGCAGUUGCAGAUACCAAUGAUCUUACUUGGUUGGAGCCCUAUCAGUCUAGUUUUAAAGUACCAUUGCCUCUCCGACGACAGUGACUCCACUAUUUUCACGAUGAAGAGACCAAGAGUCAGUGCAUAAUAUUUAAAAGCUUCAUCGCCUUGAGCAACCUUAAUGAAGGCGAUGAGAAACAGUGGAUUACUACUCAGCAUGACAACCUCGAUCAGUGCAGUAAAAAAUCAUGGACAAAAUAGAAGGCAUACGAGAUGAACCUCCUUCCUUCCUUCCUUCCUUUUGUUCAAUUGCUCCAUAAAUAUUAAGUACAAUGUUCGCGCUCGAUCAGCCUGUCGUGCUUUUGGAAUAUCUUCACUCUCAAGAAUCUUUUUGCUUACCUUUCUUCAUUAGUGGAUUCAACCACCAAAAUGAUAUUGUAUUAAAUAACCCAGCUUUCGCAAAAGGAAUACAUUGUCAUUUAAACUGAUGUCACCUCUGAUAUUAGAUUCCUCACCUUGCAAAGGUGUGUAGAAAGCAUCAUCAUCCUGGAUUUCUGGAUCAUCUUUUGCCAAAAUGCAUCCCUGACAUGCACUAAAUAGCAAAAGAAUUGAUCCAGGGAAAUAACAAAUGUUUAAAACAAUCUUAAUCGAUACCGCCUCAUCGACAAUAGCCUUCCAAUUAGAUGAACUGCAAAGAAUAACAGCGACCAGGAAGGCAAGAAUUGAAACAAAAAUUGUUAUUGCAACAUGUGGAGGGUGUGGCUGCUUUAGGCUUAUGGUUAAACCCAGAACCAACCAUGUUAACCCUUGAAAUAACAAGACUAGCCAGCUAUGCAGAGGCAAAACAGACUGGUCUGCAUAUGAAGCUAUAUGUCAUCAACUUGUAAAAUAGCACGAAAAAUACAUAAUAAUAAUAGCAGAAAAUUGAACAACCAGAAGAGCUUGUCUUCCUGCUUUUUACUUCCUUUGACAUUCCUUUCAAAGAGUUAUGCAAAACCCACCAAUUUCAUAUCAUAGCUCACAUCACAUCUAUUUGUAAAUCUAAGACUUCUUGUACUCAUAAGGUUUUUCUUUUUUCUUUUUUUUUAUUCAACGAUAGUCGUGCGUGAAAUUUAAAUUCAUGAUAUUCUCUAAUAUAAAAAAUUAGAAUUUAAAGCUAUUAGACCAAAGUGGGAUAUACUGUGAUAAAUUAUUAGAGCAAAAGCAGAUGACUAUAUAAAAACAAAUUAUUGACUAAUGCGAUUUGAUUUGCAUAUUGCACAUGCAACAUGCGUGGUGCAAUAACACAAGUGUACUCAACACAAUCGAAAUUAGGAGACAUUAUUCCAUGUAUCGGAUAUACCAGCUGGCAGUGUAUCUGUGUCAUGAUUUUUAGACACGUGGCACUCAAAUUGAAACUUCACUAAUGUCGGUUUUUUUCGGUGUGACAGUCACACAGUCUGGUAGUCUAUAAAUCCACUCUUCCUACAAUAUGUGUAUUUAUAUCCUAACAUCAUGAUAUAUUAACCAUAUCCAACACUCAUGUUAUAACACCUCACUUGGUAUGGUAGCAUCACGUGGCAAUGUAGUGAUGACACCUUAGAAUAUCUGUUUAUUAUGUUAAUUCUUUUAAUUAAUAUAAAUAUAGAAAAAUAUUAGAGGGCAUUCAUUAGCGGGGUUAGGCAGCCCGUUUUUCAAGUGGAGAUAUUUAAUGGCUUUUCAGACGUUCCAAUUACUCAUUUUCCAGGCUGCGGAAGUUUCCAAAAGUCAAAUAAUGAAGAAGCUGAUUUCCCAGCAUGCAAAAUGAUUUGGUUGCAAUCUAAAAACAAAAACAAAAAACAGGAAGAGAUUUGGUUUUGGUUUUGGUCAGACAGAGGAUCUCGUAAAAGAACUCAUAGGAACAGCAACAAUCUUCUCUUAAAAUCAAAGAUGUGCAAGAAAAACAUGGUCACUGAAUUGCUGUCUUAUAGGAACAGCAACAAUCUUCUCUUAAACAACUAAGAAACACGAAGAUGAGGUAGAGAGUUGAAUAAAUUCUUUACUUUCCUCAAUCUUUGUUACAUUUAUCAGAAGUUCCUCGAUGGUACAACAUAAUAAGUUGUGUAAUAAACCUAAGCUGCUCAAAAUUGGAAUGCUUACAAAAAUAAACCUAAGCUGCUCAAGAACAUAGUUGGAUGAGCAAAUGAACCCCACAUUAAUCCAGCUUUUAGGGACUCUAGCGGCACAAAAUUUUUUAUCUACUAAACGAGAGAUGGGGGGUAAACAAUCAAAAUUAAGAGUCAUACUUUAACAUAUUACUAACAUGAAAACGAUCAGCACUCUAUUCGAGCAGCACCACUCUCUGACGAAACGAACUUGGGCUUCCUAAUAACUUGCUCCAAGCAUUGGACCAUGUCUCCAACCCGGAAAUCAUCGUAAUUAUGGAUUACCAGUCCACACUCAUUCCCCUUCUUUACUGUGUCCACAUCCUGUUUCUCCCGCUUGAGCGAUUCACAUGAUCCUUCAAAUACAACUUCCCCACUCCUAAGGAGCCUCAAGAUUCCCGAUUUAGUUACAAAACCAUCAAUCACCCGACAUCCAGCAAUCUUCACAUCAGGUCCCUUGGACUUGCUCCUUCCUUUGAGCUCAAAAAUACUUAGCACCUCAGCCUCCCCAGCAACCUUGGUCUCAGGAGUCCCAGGGGCUUUGUCUACUAUAAAAUUGCCAAUGUCCUCCAGAAGGUGAUAGAUCACACGAUGCAGCAUUAUCUACAAAAUUGAAAAGAAAUAAAAAAUUAAUCUUUCCAGCUUUACAUACUAAACUAAAUAAAAGUUCAACUCCAACUGCUCACGCCCAAUAAUGCAUACAGAACAGAUAGUCAUAUCCUAUUGACCGUUAGAAAAAGUGCAUCCCCUCAGACGAUUUUAAAAAGUUUUUUUUUUUUAAGGAAACAGAAUUUUAUUGGAAAAAGACAAUUAUUAAAAAAAAAAAAAAAAAAACAAGGUGGCCAAGAUGGCCACAAAAGAAGACUUAACAGCGAAAUAGUAGUUAGACCAAGCAAAACGAAAAACUUCUAGCAAAAUAACAAAACUUAAAACAAACUUUGACUGGAAAGCUAGCAGAUGGCUUCAUUCCAAUCCAGCUAAAAGCUCCUAAAGGACAUAUCUAUAAAGUCUGUAGAAGUCAAAGCCCAUAGGGAAGAGCAUAAUUGAACUUUCUCCCAUAGCUCCUUCGUUUCGCAACAAGUGUGGUCCUCUAAAAUCAACCCUAAAUCUAUUUUCGUUCCCACCAAACCACCCAGAUGACCGCCAAUACAAUACAACCUCAUAAUACCUUCCAAAAUGAAGAUAAUGUGAAAAAAGCGAGGUCAAUACCUUUACACUGGCUCGAGCUGCAGCCAAACUGACGGAACUGGGUGGAGUUUUUAUAUUAAAUCCAAUAAUGCAUGCACCACAGGCUUCUGCCAUGUCCAAAUCAGACUGAGAUAUAGGUCCAACACCAACAUGCACUACAUUCACAAAGACCUGGAAAAGAAUCGAAGAAUUAUCAAGAACAAAGAGUGGCAAGAUUAGUUAGCAUGAAGAGAAUCAUAGAGAACAAUACAAAGCUUUUCUUAAAUGCCCCAUUAUUUAGUACAGGUAUUGCCAACCAAUGAGAAGUUUAGAGUGUGGAAUAUUUCAGCAAGGAAAAUGUUUUUAAAAAUGGAAAAGAUGAAAAAGAUGAUUACUGCACAUAACAUUGCAUGGAAACGCACGAAGCAUCAUCAACCAAAGCAACAAGUAAUUAUUUGAACAGUAUUGGUAACUACAGAGAAAGUAUUUAGUCAGGUACACGACCGUUCUAAUCUUGUGGCAUACCUGAGGACUAUUCAAAUUCAGUAAUGCAUCUGUAACAGCUUGGACGGUGCCCUGAACAUCUGCUUUUACUAUUAUCGGCACUUCCACCCUCUUGGGCUCCUCUUCUGAUGUUUCUGGUUGUUGAGCUUCUGCUCUCUCAUCAAUAAUCUUCAUAUGUCUAUCUUUCUCGAAUUUAUUUUUACUCCCCACACUAAGCUUUUUAUCUUGCUCCUCAGAAGCCCUCUCUUCAACAAUCUUGAUAAGUCUAUCUUUCUCGAAUUUCUUUUUCCUCCCCGCACUAAGCAUUCUAGCUCUCUCCUCAGAUUCCACAACAAUGAUAUCAUCUCCCGCCCUUGGAAGUCCCUUCAACCCUUCAAUCUCAAUUGGCAUUGCGGGUCUUGCCUUCUCUACCAACUUCUCCGCCAUGUCCCUAAUAGCCCUUAUUCUGCCCCACUCUGAGCCCACAACCACAUACUGCCCACAUAAUAAAGUCCCUCCUUUCACUAUUGCAGUAACCAAUGGACCCUUCCCCUUAUCAAGUCUUGCCUCCACCACAUAAGCAUGAGCAGGCCCAUCGAUUCGAGCUUUCAGAUCCAUUAUUUCAGCCUGGAGAAGCAAAGCCUCCUCCAAGUUAUCUAAUCCAGUCUUCUUCAUCGCUGAAACCUCAACAACCUGAACAUCUCCACCCAUAUCCUCUAGCAUCAAACCCUCAGAAGCAAGCUGGAUCCUUAUUCUUUCUGGGUUAGCAGCUGGUUUAUCACAUUUAUUAAUUGCAACUACAAUCGGUACAUUAGCAGCCUUUGCAUGGGCCAUGGCUUCAAGAGUUUGAGGCAUCACCCCAUCAUCAGCAGCUACAACUAGAACAACUAUAUCUGUGACAGCAGCCCCUCUUGCCCUCAUCGCACUAAAGGCUGCAUGACCAGGGGUGUCAAGAAAUGUAAUUGAUGCUCCUGAUGUCAUACCAACAACAAAAGCACCUAGAUGUUGAGUAAUUCCUCCAGCUUCCUUGGCAGCCACAGAUGUUUGACGUAGAGCAUCUAGAAGCGAAGUUUUCCCAUGGUCAACAUGACCCAUGACAGUUACAACUGGAGGUCGAGGUAGAAUUUCUGAACCUUCAUUGGAGUGCAGCCUCUUAAUGUUGAUCCCAACUUCCUACAGAUUAAUGGAUGGCUCAUUCAAGUUUCUAAAGUUGCCAAAAUGCAUAUCAUAAUGAAAACACAUGACAUUCAAGGAAAACAAUGCUAAAGAGCAGCAAGUAGAAUGUUCUACAUAUGUAAGAGCUAAGACAAGUAAAUUACACUUGUUUUUCAUCAAGCAGAAAUACAAUAAAAAUAGUGACCAACUAUGGGUACUGUCACAUCACCUGAUUGGUGUGCUGUAAACUGUAAAAACAGAAUACAUCUUUCGAUUCUUUCCCAAUAAUGAUUUGAAGCAAAACAUAUAACAAACCACCCGUUUCAAACAGCGUGUAAUCCCUCCCCCAACCACCAAUAAGUGAGAAUGGCUUUGGAAGCAAGUUUUCUCCAUUUAAGCAUAUUUCAGUCUCGGAGAUUUUCCAAAAACACUUUUAAAUGGUGAAUCCAAUUCUAAGCAUGCAUACAAUGUAUUUGAUGAGAACUGAAAACUAACAAUUGUUAACAAGGAUAAUAAAAUAUUAACUGAGAUUAAUAUAUUAUUUUAAUGCUAAUAAGGUGAAAUACCAUUGCAAUCAACUCCACAACCUCCAUGCUGAGAGGAUCAAACUCUGUGCCAACCUUUUCCCCAACAUUUGUAAGAAUACCUUGCAGAGUGGAUAUUGAUUUACCAGUACGCUUGGCAAGCUCAACAACUGUCAUGCCUUCAAAAAUCUCAAUCGUCUUAUCUGAGAUAGGUUUGGUAGUUCUUUGUGAUUUAGGAGGCACAUAUGGAGCUUCAACAGGAGGCUGGGCCUUACUGUCCCUCUUUACAAACUUCUCUUUCUUGGGAGUUUUUAAACCAAAUGACUCGUCAUUUCCUUUUCUAGCAAACAGUUCUGGGCUCGCACGAUAGCAUCUAAGCAAGAAAUUUUUCAUCAUAAUGGUUGAAAUUAGCAAACUGAAAUGAAAACAAAUAGAACAAGUAACCACAAAGAAACAGAAAGAUCAACUUACCGUAUCAGGGACUCUUUUGUCAAAGCUUCAUUAAAAUCAAACCUCCGUGACAUAAACGAGGGAUCUACGCUACAAAAAUUAAGAUAUGAGCAAUGAUGAAAAAUAAAAUAAAGAAAAGUUUUUAAGUUUGGCUAAUACUCAACAAGAUUUCUCACAUGUAACAUGUGAACAAAACACCCAUACUUUGGUAGUUGCUUUCCCUCAAAAUCAAAACAUGUAACUAUCAUCUUGUACAAUUGUAUGGUUAAAGUAAUAUAAACAAAAAGCAAGCAAAAGCCACAUUAAUUACAAAACGAGCUAGAUUCAAGAUCAGAGAGUUAUGGAGUGAAACUGAAUUACAAUGGUAAUUAUGAAAAAUAAACUGAACAAAAAUUAAGACUUUAUUGAGAUCAUUUGAACUGCAAUUAUCACAUAAAAAGGUUUUCCUUGUGCAAUUUUAAUUUACCUGGUGUGCAUCUGACAGCAGCAGACAUUGACUUUAUAAUAUCAUCAACAGUAGAUACAGAAGUAAAACCAUGUCUUCGUAGUCUUGAAGUUAAAUCUGUAGUUAGACUGGCACGUAUGCCCUGCAACAAGAAAUUCUGAUGAAAACUUCUAGAUUCCAAUGUUAUAUAUGAAAUAUAAAUAUAUAAAUAUUAGACACACACACACACACACCAACCAAAACUACAGUUAUUCUCCAUUAUCCAACUAUUACAUUUUUAGAGUUUUCUUUUUUUCCUGAAAUCAAAUACCAAGAGUUCAAUGCUAAACCAAGAAUAAGUGACAAGAUUAUAAAACAAACCAAGGCAGGGAUGAAACCAAAUAGAAAGGGGGCCAGGGGCGGAUGGGAGACUGGUAAAUGAAAACUUGCCUUUUUGCCAAGCUCUCUCCACGCCAUUCAUAAGUAUUUCAGGCCAAAAAGAAAAUUAUUUGAAAGUUUCAAACUCUGCACAGUUGGACAAAGACAAUGACAGAAAACAAUGCAUUAGCCAGAGUGAUGCUCCCUUUGAUUGCUAAGAAAGUGGAAGAAAAUGACAAAAAUUUAACGUUAUUGAGCAUGCACAGCACAGAAUUAUUCAGAAUAAGCCUUACUAGGCUUCAAAUGAGAAACCCAGAUUGCCCAUCCACCAGUUCAAUUCACCUCAAUAUAAAAAAUUAAAUUGAAACAAAGUUUAAGAGCUGAAGAAUAACCGACGCACGCAAAACUGAAUGAGUAUUUUCAAAAGCUGAAUUAAACCCAACAGAUAAUAAGCAUAAAAACAGCGAGAAAACGAUUAGAAUUACACAUCAAAUGGUGGGAAAAAAAACAUAAAUAUAUCUAUGAAACACAGAACAGAGCCAAAUAAAGCAAUACAAAGUUGGAGUUUGUGAAGCUUCUGCUUACGGUUUAACAGGACAACCAAGGUUCAGUUCUCGGCAACGAGCAGUUUAAGUCGGUGAGCCUUUUUUGCUCACUUUGCCGGUUGCCUCUUUCAGCUAGAGAUCAAAGACGUUGAGAAAGACGUGAGGUUGUCUAUAACCCUUUUCUCAAUCCGACCCGAAAAUGAGAGCUUGGAUUGGGCUGAUUUCAGUAGAGACUUCCGGCCCGAUUUAAUUUCCGGCUCGAGUAAGACCCAACAAAAUUAUUUAAUUACAUAUUGCGUCCUUGUACGAAAUUAUUUAAAAUGACAAAUUAUAUUAUAUAUAAACUAAAUGGCAAUCCACCCCUGUACUGUUCUUAAGCACAGUGUAAUGACGGAAAUGCCCCUCUUUUUAAAUGUUGUUUUUAGUUUAGUUUUCUCUUCAGCACAGUGAUUUGCCGAAAAUGCCCUCCACUUAACCUUUUCUGAUCUUCCCUUUUUGCCCCUCCUCCUUUUACUAAAAUACAUAAAUGUAAAAAUUAAAGAAAGAGAUAAAGGAAUAGAUGGAGACAGAUGGAAAGAGGAAGAAGAAGGAAAAAGAAAAAGAAAAAUAGAGAGAGACAGGUGGGCCCAACAAAAGACAAAAGUUUUUUUAAUUUUUUUAAUUUUAUAAUUUCCUAUAAAUUGUAUAUUACUUAUAAUAAUAUGUAUGUUUAAAUUAAUAUAUAUAUAUAUAUAGAGAGAGAGAGAGAGAGUUUAUGUCUCAUGUAAUUAAAUGUAUGUUUAAUCUUGGUGUGUAUAAAUAUAACUUGAUGUUUGCUCUAGACAAUUAGAAUACUACAAUUGUUAAGCCCCAUUUAGUGUACUUAUUUUGUAAGUGAUGUUUAUGUAUAAAAUUAAGAACAAUGUAAUGAAGGAAAUCUUCUCCUUUUCUUAUUCACAUUAAAAGAAAAAAAAAAAAUCUUAUCGGUUCUUACACAAAAGGAAAACUCUUCCCUCUCACCAUUUUUUUCUCCUACAAACUCUCCUCUCUCUCCAUGAUUGGAUUUCUUAAAAAACAAACUUGAAAACCAGAAGAUGGUUUGUUUGUGCUACCUCCCCAAUUGGAUCUUCAUUGGAGCUCUCUCCCAGCUCAAUCAUUCUUUACUUCAUGAAUUCACACGUACGAUUUGGCUCAUCCAAAUUUUCAACUUUUUUGAAUCUAGUUAAAUUUAGAAGAUUGAAUUGAAGCGGCUGGCUCUAUCAUAUGUGUUUGGGUGGAUCCAUUUCCAUUUUGCUCUUGUCAUGCUCAUUUCCUCGCAUAUCAUCCAUAUCCAUAUUCAUCGCGAUGAUGUUAGGUUCAUUCAUAUUUAGCUGCUUACGUAUGAUUAAAAAUAAAUUAGUUAAGCUCAAGAUCAAUCCGAAGCUUACUAAUACAACUGGACUGUGGACCAUUCAAUUAAAAUUAAGUUUUAUCUCUCCCAAUUGAGAUCAAUUUUGGGGAGUUUUGUUCUCGUAAUUUUUAUUGUGCCUGAAAGAAAUGAAUUAUAGCUUUCAACAUUCAGGAUCCAUUUGAUAAUCUUUUUUUUUUUUUGGGGUUAGAAUAUAGAGGAAAAAUGGGAAAAAUGAAAGUGAGAAUGAGAAUAAAGAUGCGAUUAAUAAAGAGGAUAAGAGGAGAAAAUGAGAGUACUAAAAGUGAAAACAAAAACUAAAAACUGAAAUUUAUUUCCAAAAAAAAUAUUGAUUGGGCAGCUUCUCUCCUUUUGUCUACGUCUACAGCAACUUCUUUUUCUGGCUGGGCAGCUUCCAAAUAAAAUAUAUUUGCUAUCAUAUAUAUAGACAUGGGCUAUAUUACUUCAAGGCAAAUAAGGCCUACAGUUUUCUUUAAAAACGUCAGCUCACAUUUUCCCCGUUUUCUCUUUCUUUCUUCUUAUUCUCUUCUAUUUAAUUGUCUUAUACAUCUUUAAUUUGAAAUUUAGUAUUCUAGUGUUUGAUUAGAAAUGAAUUAUAAUAUAGGGAUUUUAUUUAAAUUAAGUAAGUCUUUGAUUUUAGGAAUUUUGUUGAAAUAUUGAAUUUGUUGUUGAUGUUGUUGUGAUGUUUGAUUAAAUGCAUUGAUAAUAUUAUGAGAAUUAAUUUUUUUCUCUAACAUGAUCCAAUAGGUGUAUCUUUUUAUAUUUAUUAAUAAAAUUCACUCAUAUCGUCAAAUUUAGUAUAUAAGUUUUUUUCAAAUCCUAAAACAACCAUUGAAUGAAUUAUAACGUGAAAUUUACUUCCUUUUUUUCUUUUUUUCUUCUUCCAUACAAUUAGUAAAUGCAGGUGUAGAUGGCUGCCGCUGAUGCAAUGGGAUGAUAAAAUACAUCAACGGCUGAUAGCCACCUGCCAUAGAUCGGAAUUUUCAAGUAAUGAUAAUGGUCCAUGAAACAAUAAUGAAGUCGACGACAAAACAUUGAUCACCGACAAACUUUAAAAUUGAAUAAUAUAAAAUGCAAUUAUACAGGAAUGGUUCGCGUGACAGUUCACGUGUCAUCUCAUACCCACUGGUUCUUAUAAAGAGAAUUAUUAAGAUUCAUCAGAUUAAUAAAAAACUUUAAAAAACGAUCUGGUACCAACCAAGAUAUAAAAACCGGUAAAUACUCUAAGCUGCAAACUUUUAUUAAAAUCAUCAACAACAAGAAUGAGUUCAUAUUGUCAUGCCCCAGACGAGAUAUGAACACCAAAGCACAUAACAGCUAAAGCUAUUUUGGGAACACAUAUAUAAAAGUUAUUCGGACCACAAUAAAAAUGGGAAAUACACAAACAAAUAAUUUGACAAUAGAUUCUUUGGUGGUCACUGACCAGUCCUUAAUCUCUCCAAGGCCACAUAAUGCAGGGUAAAAGAAAACCGUACAAUUCAUCCCAUUACACAGCAAUCUGACCAAAGAGCUUUCUGCGGAUCUGCAAUAACAAGAAUACAAGCUCAGUUCCUGAGAGCAUAAAUAAAUCAGCCUACAGCCUAAUAUUGCAGUGGCGAAAGGUGAAUUAUAAAAAGGAAACUGAUACUUUGCAAGGAAAAUACCUCUGGAAGCUUUUUACGGAAUACAACAUCCAACCGUGCAUCAAGGGUGUUCUCACAUACAAUCUUCCCAUCUCGAGAAGCCAACACUACACCUCCAGAACUGAACAAUCAAAAGUUAUCAUCAGCAAGUGCCAUCAUUCCACUUUCUUUCAAAAUAUAAAAGAGAGCUGUUUGCGAAGCUGAAUAGCAAGCCAUAUUAUAUCCAAGUCCUAAUUGAAAACUUCUGAAAAUUUUGUGGGGCAGAAAGUAACUUACCAGGACGAAAUAUGGGGAUUAAAAUGGGUAGGAGCAGGUGGAAGAAAGACAGUGGUGUCCACUAUAAUCUCUGGGGUAUGAACAUUUGCUUUGGCCGCAUAUUCCUGUGCUGCUGAUUCCGAAACAGCCUCCACCAGAUGUAGGUCUUCUUUCCGACAACGUAACAAAACAGCAGGCUCCUUCAGCCUGAGCAAACUCUGUGUCCCAAAACCAUAAUUUUCAGUAAACCAGUGGUAAUUAUUAAUUUAUCCAUGCAAGAGUGCAUAAAGUUAAAGUGAACUAGAAAUCAUCUAGGAAGUCAGGAAUCACACUCAUUUGUUAUGAAUAGAAAAUGUAAUCUGUUGUCAAUGAAGGAUAUGGAUCAUCACCAUGAAUAAUACUUCAAACUCGAGCCAUUGCCAAUUUGCCACUAGAUGAUAGUUAUGUAGGUGUACAUAAAAACUGGUGAGACAGGUUAGCCAUAUCUACCAUACCAUAUAAGAAGUUUAACAAACCUGAAUGAUAAGAUCUUUCAGAAGCUUUUUAUAACCAUGGUGAUCUUGGCUCACAUUCAGAAGCUCCUUGGAAGCCGCCUCCUUCAUGGAGUUAACCACAUCAUCUUGAGCUUGAAGAACUUUAAUACGAGAAGCAUUAAGCUGCAUAGAGUACUCACUGCAACAAACCGAUACAACAAACUGUUAGUUACCCACAUAUGUGCCAUUUUUGCAUAGCCAUAGGGGAAACAAGAAAGGAAAAGCUUCCCUUAGUGAACCCAUCCUCCAACAACCCAAAUUCAACAGCGAAGAAACAAAGAACUCAAUUUGAUUGAACAUACAGUCUGAUUUCUUUACAACAAGAUUUGAGCCUCGUCCUACUCCUUCCCCGCCUACUCCAAUGCCCUUUGAGCUAGAGCCUAUUAGCUUCAUAAAGUAUGGUUUUCAAAAUCCAAAUACAUACAAGCUCCUAAAUUUUGGGCUACAUUAAAAUUGAUCAAGCCUCUCAUGACAAUAAGAUUUCCAAUAAGAUUUCCCACUUAUUCAACUCAUUUUUAACUUAUGUUCAAACCAGUUUCCUCAAUAUUCCAUCAAAUCCAUAAAGUUAACAAAAUCACCAUCUUCACUAGUUCCCAACUUUCCAACCUCACUAUCGUAUUCCACAACAUCCGCGAUUACUAAUUCCAACUCAAAAUUCAACCUAACAGUAACUGAUAUUUGAAACCGUACUACUGAUACAUAUCCAUAUAUUUCUAACAGCAGAAUGCUCAAUGAUUGUUUGGCCCAUCGGGGAAAAACAAUGAUAUGACUUUGUUGGAAUGAGAAAUAUAAACAAAAUUAGGCAGGUUUAAGUAAUUAUACAUCUUCUUUCGGACGUCGACUUGCUUCUCUUUCUUCUCGUACUCUUGCCUGAUCUUCUUCUUCUCAGCCUCGACCAGCUGCAACUUCUCAAUGUUGAAUUCCUACAAAACAACACAAAUUCGCACAAAUAAUCAAAUACCCGUAUAUAUGUACAGAAACUUAAUUACGCACGAAUUACAAAAACGGAUCGAGAUUAAAUUGAAAUUUAGGGUUAGAAGAAAAGUAAGAAUUGGGGAAAAAGAAGAGAGUCGUGAGAGAAUUAGGAAACGUACUUCUUCAGAAGAGACGGAGAUCUCGUUGGCCUUUUCCUCAGCUUCUUGGCGAAUGAACCUCACCAUCUGCUGGAUCUGCUUGGAGACAUCUGCGUCGUUCAUUUUCGCUGAUCUUUGAAUCGAAUCGGAGAAGAUCGAAGACUCUCUCUCUUACCUCGCGCGCAGAGCAAGUGACUUAGCCUUUCGCCGGUCGUGAAUUAUAAACGGGAAACUGUGAGGACAAAAAAUCAACCGCUUUUAUAUAUGCAUCGUCAAUAAGCGUGAGUGAUCUUUAUUUUGGUUUUUUCUAGUUAACUCUGAGCUGUCACUUAUUUAUCUUCUUUAAUUUAGCGUCCUAUUUUUGUAUUUUUUACAAUAUAAAAAUAUAUUAAUAUUUAACAAGUAUAGCCGCUCGGCUAUACUCUUUAUUUAAAUGAAUUCAAAUAUUUUGUACAGUACAGCCGUGCGGCUAUACUCUUUAAAUGUAUUCGAAUAUUUUAAAAGUAAAGCCGGGCGGCUAUACAACACAAAAUGGUUUUCUUUUUCGUAAUUAAGUAAAUACAAAAUUAAUUUGUUUAGUCUAAUAUUUGCAACUAAGUAAUAUCUUUGUGUUAUUUAACUAUAUUAAUUAUUCUAUAUUUAAUGGAUAAGUAGUAUUUAAAUAUUUUAAUUAAUUUCAUAACUUACUUAAUAAAUACUAAUUAAUUAUAUUUACUUAUCUUAAAUAAUUUUGUGGACUUUAAAAUUAUUUUUAAGUUUGAAAAAUGAAUUUGAGCCUCCAAACCCUAAAUCCAAGCCGCAAAUCUUUCUCAAGUCUCAAAUCCUAAUCACAAGACUACUGUGGGGCAUUUAUGACUUGAUUAGACUUGAAUACUCAUGUAAUUCGAUCUAGGGUUUUACAAUUAGAGUUUCGAUCUCAAUAUACGGCUAGUACGAUAUAACCAAACCUAACCCUUCCUAAAUAAGAUAUACAAAAGAAAAAAAAUAUCAAUUUGGUGUCCAUGUAAGUAGAAAUAUGAUCUAAGUGCUACGUCAUAAAAAUAAAAAAUAAAAAAAAGCACUUAACUUAAUAGAUUGAGGGACAAAUCGACUAAUGAUAUAACAACUUGUAACUUUAGGUUUGUUUUUAUCAAUUUUAAAGCAUUUAUAUAUAUUAAUAUUAAUAUAUAAAACAAAAGGUAGAGAAUGAUGAAACAUUCAAAAUACCAGAAAAUGUCAUUGGCUAAUCCAAACAUUAAAAAUUAAAAUUAUUAAUUAAAUGAGGAUAAUAUGGUAAAUUCACACAUUUUAUAUUUAAAAAAUUAAAAUUAAAAGAAAAAUCAGAUAAUGAAUCCUAUUUUUAUGGAACACAACUACUCAUUAUUUUUUUUAAAUCUAAAAUAAAUAUAAAAAAACAAUUUUAAAAAUCCUCUCACAAGCGCGUAUGGAGAGGCUAGUAGGGACUAAUAGAAACUCUGUAAAUAUGCUAAUGUAAAAGGUAAGUGGCGCCCACAUCUCCAAUGACAUCGUGACACAUGGAUAAGAUAAAACAUGUUUUUAAAAACAAUUAAAAAAUUUUAAAAUGAAGAAAAAAUUCUUAUUAUGAAGUAAACACAAAAUUCUCCAUAAAUAAAAUUCAAAAUGAGAAUUCCAAUUUCUGAUUAGUGAACGCACCAAAAUAUGAUAAGAGGGCAUACACCAAUAGACACAAUAAUUUAUACUUUUAAUCCGUGAUUAUGUGAAAUGACCUUCCAAAUAAAAUGAAAAGAAAGAGUUUCCACCCGGUAAAUUAUUUUCGUAACUCAGUUAUAAUAGAGGAUGUAAAAUUAAUUGCAAAAAUCCCGUUACUUUGGAGCAAAUGGUAAUCGGUUACAACGUCUUCUUCACUCAUCCACCUCAGUCCUCCUAAUCCUCCUCCAACCUUGUUCAAAUCAAUUAUCAGUUUUCAAACUCAAUCACAGCUUGAUCGAGCUCUGAAAACUCUCCCAGAUCUGACUGACCACUCACCAAAAUCCAUUCAAGCUCUCUCUUCGUUUUUUGUUGGACCAAAAACAUGCAUAGCCGGGCAUCGCAGAACCGGCUAUCUGGUUCGGCUUUUCACUCUCGAAUUUCAGCUCUCUUGCUGGCCAUGCUUUCCACCAUGGCCGCCAUUUAUGUCGCCGGCCGGUGAGUUUUUCAAAUUUUUUGAAUUUUGUUUUCUUGAGCUGUAACCGAGGCUAUUCUGAAUUUUACUUUUGAGUUUUUGGCGAAAAGUUUGAUUUUUGAUGAAUGUCUGAUGAGGUUGUGAUGUUGGUAGUCUGUGGCAGGAUGCUGCGGAUAGGGUUUAUUUGAUUCAGGAGCUUGAUAAAAGAAGUGGUCAGGUAUUUUUAUGCUUUGGUUUUGUUUAUUUUGUUUUCUUCUGGAUUUACCAUUCUCGUUUUAUUUAGUUGAAAAUUUUUGUGUUUUAAUAUAUUAAAAUUUAAAAGUUUAUUAGCGUAGAAUUUCAACCUCUGCUGCUUUCGUAAGUAUUCAAAGAAAUUAUUUACUGGGGCAGAUAAUCGUCCAUUAUCAUUUUUCAGGGAGAAUCUGCCAUAUCUGUCGACGACACGCUUAAAGUUAUAGCUUGCAGGUAAAUAAAUCCAAACUAUUCUGUAAAAGGGGGUCAUAUUUGACCAUUAUGAUCUUGGGCUUACUUACUGUUAUGAAUGAUGAUCAUUUACUUUAUAGGGAGCAACAGAAGCAGUUGUCCACUCUUGAGAUGCAACUAGCUGCAGCAAGACAGGAAGGUUUUGUUCCAAAGAGCUUGUCAAAAAAUGAGGUGGCUCAUUCUAAGAAAAAGCUUCUAGCUGUUAUAGGAAUUUUUACAACAUUUGGCCGCAAGAAAAAUAGGGAUGCAAUUCGUAAGGCGUGGAUGCCUAGCGGUAAUUAUUGAACAUUUCAUUGUUUGUUUCUUUUGCUCUGCUUGCAAUUUCAUCAGUUGGCAGGUCCAGCAUUAAAAAUAGAUAUGCUCUUCUUUGCUCGUGUGGCCAUGUUAACAAAUCUGAAUACAAUAUGUGCAGGUGCAGCACUAAAGAAAUUGGCAGAUGAAAAGGGCAUCGUUGUGCGAUUUGUAAUUGGAAGAAGGUCUGUAUAUCGAUGAUUUAGAAUGAUGACAAGGAAUUGUCUACAGUUCUGUUCAGUUAAGCAUGUAUAUCUUGCAGCCCAAAUCGUGGAGACAGUUUGGACAGGCAAAUAGACAGAGAAAAUGAGCAGACCAACGACUUCAUUGUUCUUGUAUGUUCAAUUAUUUGAAUGAAACUGUUUUAACAAUAUUAUGUGGGAUUUAUAUGUGAAUUUUUCAAAAUAUACAUAUAUCAAUAUAUGUGUUUAUGCACAUACAAUUAUGUGUAUCUUUAACUUCAUAUGACUACCAAAGUAUGUUUCUGUUAAUUUUUUACUUUUUCCAUAUUCUAUGUGAUAGCUAGUUUGUAGUUAUGAUGAAUUAGCCAAUACAGCCUUAAAUUUUAGUUUGAGGAAAAAUAAGCUCACUGUGCUCUCCUUUUUUUUAUUUCUUGCAUCUUGUUCAUGGCCCUUAACCAGAAUUUGCACAGCCCUCAUGUUCAUGUAUAUAUUUGUGAUUGCUUAAAUAUGCAGUUAGUCAACAUGCCCAAGGAAUGCUACAUAUAGGAGCAGAUAAUGUUAUAUCAAAAUCAAAAUGUCUUACACUCUUUCUUUGUUUUUUUUUUUUAAAUUUUUAAUUUUUUUAUUUACAGGAUGGUCAAGUGGAGGCAUCUGAGGAGCGGCCAAAGAAGAUGAAGUCAUUCUAUAUUCAUGCUGUAGAAAAUUGGGAUGCUGAGUUUUAUGUUAAAGUCAAUGAUGAUGUUUAUGUUAAUAUUGGUAUGUAGUCACACAAUUCUUUCCAGUAUCAAGAAGAUAGUGAAUCCUAUUGACACUUUCUGUUAUACAUGCAUAACAUUAAUCCGAGGUAAUUAAUUUGGAUAACACUUACUAUUGAGAAAACAAAAGAUACUUUUGGAUGACACCAUAAGCAUAUGAUUAUCUAGUCAUUUUCUAUCUCAGAAAUCAAAGCAGCAUAAUAUGUAAUUUCAGUUUAGAGAUUUGGUCGUUUGCCAUUGUUUUACUGCUAAAAUUAUGCUGCAAAAUGCUGUAAUUGUUUGUCUAACUUCUGAAUAGCUUACCUGUGGACACUACAGGUAUAAUUGUGGUGGAAUCAAACAACAUGAUAAAAGGGCUUAUUGAAAAAUAAGAAAAGCAAUGUUUGACUGUUAAGCAUAUCAGAACAGUUCCUAAACAGAUUUUUAAAGUGCGUGCUAAUUGUUGUCUUUUGAUUAUGAUUCAGAUGUCCUGGGAGCAACACUAACUGCGUAUUUGAAUAAGCCUCGUGUCUAUAUUGGGUGUAUGAAAUCAGGCGAAGUGUUCUCUGAGCUGUGAGUGUGGAAAGCGUGCUUUAUUUGAUGAAAACUUUAAACUUAUGAGGCAUUUAAGAUUAGGUGUAACUUUUUUGUUUUUUUUUAUUGUCUUAAUUAUACAGAACACACAAGUGGUAUGAACCAGACUGGUGGAAAUUUGGCGAUGCAAAAUCGUAAGCAAAGAGCAUUUUCAUUUAUAUCCUUGAAUAGAAGAUAGAUUUCUUGACUCCGUGGAAAUUUAGGCAUUAUGUAUGUAACCUGUGUUAAAGAUGGUGGUUAGGAAAAGAGCGGGGAUAGAGUGGAGCUUGGGUUGUUGAAUAUGAGUAAAGGAAUGCUGGGAUGGUGUGUCUCUGAAAGAGAUGGUUGUUAGUUAGGCAAGUAAAACACUCUUAAAUUGACAUGAACUGAAAGAGUAGCCCACAAAAAAAUUAUUUUUUUUAAAAAGGGAAAAAGAUGCAUUGAAAGUGGAUGAUGCACUGUUUUUCUCUAAGUUUCCUGGUGGUUACUUCUAAAGAAGAAUGCCUUAGAGUGUUCUAUGUGAUAUUUGAUUGGCUAUAUUUCUCGUAUUUAAAGGAUUAUCUCCUCAUGGUAGGUGCUAGGUUGUUAUCUUCAAGUACUGUACUUUUUCACUUGGCUCAAAAUUGCACAUCUUGUCUAAUGCAGAUACUUUACCCAUGCUUCUGGUGAAUUGUAUGCCAUUUCUAGAGCAUUAGCUCAGUUUAUAUCCAUAAACAGGUACUUCUGCAUGCUCCUUGUUUUUAAAAAGAACUUUUUAAUAGUAUUUAGCAUGCAGACAAGCCUGGCAGGAUUUAAUUUAUAGAUUUGUGUCGGUUUUGCAGGUCUAUUCUUCGUACAUAUGCUCAUGAUGAUGUUAGUGCUGGAUCAUGGUUUAUUGGACUUGAUGUGAAGCACAUUGAUGAACGCAAGUUUUGCUGCUCCUCCUGGUUAGCAGGUCUGUUGGUCUUUUUCUAACACACUUUUUUUAAAAAUCUUUUACAGGAACAGAGAUUGGUCUUUUUCUUUGAACGCAUACACAAAUCAUUAUAUAAAAGUUACAAAAAAUUCUUGUUAUGUAAAUAUAGAAGUCAUGGUUAAAGCUUAAAGGGAUGAGCUUGAAUUUAGUAACACGUUUUAUUUAUCUUUCUUUUCAGGAGCAAUAUGUACAGCUGUGUGAUCUAACUUGUCUCACAACUCAAACAAGUACAUACAGAAAGGGAAUUCCAUUCAUUUACAGCAUUGCCUUCAAUGCCUUCUUUGACCCUGGAUUGGAGCUGUGUAGAGAUUUUUCUGCUGAAAGUUGAUUCAAGCAGCCUUAAAAGAAUGGAUGCUGAAAUAAAAGGUUAUAUGAGAACUUAUUUCUAUGCAUGUGCUGCCGAUCAGAAUUCUCUCAGAAGCUCCAGAUGCCGACAUCAUUCGUUCCUCAACAACGAUACCGGAAGUCAGGAGUCUUAAUCAUGUAUUAUACAUUAUACCUCUAUAUGUACUAUACCAUCAUUCUUAAAUUGCCCUAAUUUUACAUUUCAACCUAGGGAAGGAAUGAUUAUAUAGAAUUACAUUUUUCUUUUGCUUCUUGGUGAUAUGCGAAACUUGAAACUCAUGGUGGAGGAUUGGUUGCAUUUCUGAUGGUGCAGCCUGCCCACUUUAACAGUGAUUACAGUAUAAUACUUAUAACUUGUUACAUCCAUCUAGGAUAUUAAUUUUUAGGCCUAUGAUCACAUAACUUGAACUCGACACGAGACAAAAUUAACGGAUUAAAGUUGAACUCUACUUGACUAAACUCGUAAAUUACUAUCCUAUAAAUAGUCACUCUGUGAACUAAAACAAUGUUAUAAACUCUUUUGCUGUAAGCUAUGAGGUUCAUAAUAAAUCGAUAUUUAUCAAUUGAAAUCUUUAAAUAAAUAAAUAAAAAUCAAUUGAACCCUAAGGUGCAAUCAAGGACUAUAUGAUUUUCGUACGAAUAACGGUUUGUCUUGGGGGUCCAACUGACCGGUACAACAUAUAUUUUGGUCAGACAACGAAAGUCGCAUGAAGAGAACUAUCAGCCAACUUCCAGCGUACCACGUACUCACUUUUUGACUUGACUUCAAUGUAGCUAAUCACUCUUCGACACGUGUAUGGCUCAGAGCAAGAUUGCCAUGUGUAUCACCUUGGCGAAUCCUAUUAACCCAUUUCACGACCAGACCACCGGUGUUCCACGCUUCCGGUUUCACAGCACAUCAAAACCCGCCGCGCGGCUGACGUUUAGCCUUCCUCUCUCUCUCUCUCUCCUUCAUUGUCUUUCAUCACCACAUAUUUCCCCCAGCACGUUUUCCAUCUCAUCAAUCUCUUACCGACGAAAUUGCAAGCUAGGAAAGUACAGGCGGGAAAAUUAAGGAGCUAGCUAGGGUUAGGGUUUGUUCGGCUCCUUCAGAAUCAUUUCUUUGGUUUCGGUUGCUCUUUCAGGAGAUUCAGGUACAUUGAAUUUGUUAUUAUGUUUUUGUUAGGAUUUCAAAUGCUUAUGUUUAUGACUCAGAACCUAAAUGUGGAAACUUUCUGGAUAUUUUAAUUUAUGGAUGCUGAAUAGGGGAAGUUUAAAACUUCAAAAUCAAUUGUAGAAGAUGACAUAUUUUUAUUCGUUAGUUUUAAAGAAAUAUUUAAAAUUAGAAAAUAUUUGUCAAUUUUUGGAGGGUAGCCUUGGUUGGUAGGAUUCGAGAAAGCAACAAGGCUUGAUAAAUCCUCACGUCGAAAUGAUUAGCUAUUUUAAUGGAUGGUUAAAGUAAAAACCAAUUGGCAUGUGGUUGAUGAAUUUCUGAGAGAAAAAAUGGUAGGUUCUUUAUGCAUGUGCCGAUGAAAAUGUUGAUGAAGGUUUUUUUUUUUUUUUGGGUGCGAGUUUGUUUUCUGACACGUAUUAUCUUGGUUAAAUGAGUUUAUAUGUUAAAGCCCAGCUGCUGAAGUGUGCCAAAUUGGGGAUUAAAUUUUUUAUUACCAAAGUAUUUGUUUACUUUUUUAGAAAAACUUUCAAGAAAAAAAAUCACCAGUUUUUCGUUCCGAGUAUGCAGCUGUGAAGAGUAACUUGACACUGAGCUGCGUGUGACAGUUUCUUCAAGUAGAAGAAAAUCAUUGGACAACAUGGACCAAGAUGUGAAAAAGAAGUUGAAGGGAUUGGAUGGAACUGCAGUGCCAGUUGGGUACGACAGUCUCAAGGAUACCGGACACCCAGUCCUUGAGGCAUCAAAAAGGUACUUCCUUUUUAUUUUAUUUUAUACAUAUAUACUUUUGAGAUUAUGCACCAGGCAGCAGCUUCCAGUAAGUUUUAUGAUGUUGUCUCCGGAUGUAGCCAAUCUAAAUUUUGAUUCUGUGACCAUGUGCAGUUUGGAACAAAAUAUUGAUGGUUUGACAGAUGGCAGUGAUGGCAACACUAAAGUAAGAAUUUCCUUUCAUUAUGACUGCUCAUAUGUGAUGAAUUUUGGCCCUUUGUUGUAUGUGAUGGUUAGAUGAUAUUAAUGCAUGAAGUUAAAGUAAUCUUGGAUUUCAUCUAUUAGGAAGACAACCACCACACUCAAAGGAACAAUGGGUCUGGAAGCAUGCGAUUUGCUGGUAUGGUACCUAUUUCUCAUUAGAUACUUUGCGCUUGUAGUGUGGGAAUUUUUAAUCAGGAUUUCUGAGUUUCGUUGUGGGAGGGAACAAUGUUGUGGCUUGUUUUUGUUGCCCAUCCCUCAUCUGUCAAUUUUGUAAAGAAAAGGGGAUAGUUUCUGAUUUACUUGAAUGAAGGACGAGGAAUUCUGUAAUGGUCCUAAAUUGGGACAUGCAACCCUAACCAAAUGCUUCAUCCUGACUGAUUUGUUUUCUUAAUCUUCUGGGCAACAGAUAAUGAUGUGAAAGUCCAUACUCAGGUCAGGCCUACAACUAAUGGGGAAGUGAAUGAGAAUUCCACAAAUGCUUCUGGUACUGGAUCUCCUGCUGGUUUUUUGGGAGUAUCUCUUCGUUCCCCAUAUGAGAAAAUAGGAAUUAGCACAGCUUUUGUUGCUCCUUCCGCUGGUGCAGGGUUGCCUUUUGAUGCAAUGGUUCUGGUAAGGAAAUGUUUACCUUUUUGUUGUUGUUGGUACUACUUAUUUGUUUGCAAGCUUUUGCCUUUGUACCUCAAUUUGUAUUCAAGUUGGGAUAGUUGUUUAAAAGAAUUGCAGCCUUUGAUACUUUUUUAUUUUUUUGUUUUGAACAACACUCAGUUACUGGUUUGAAUUGAAACCAUGGGAUUGAUGAAAGAUUUCGGAUUUGGAAUUUCCUCAAAUUUUGUGAGCCAGAGUUAGCUGUGAAACAGAGCCCAUCUUGAGACUCUGCAGGGCAGUUAUUUGCUGAAACAUUGUUAUAUUCUUGACUUUUGUGAAAUUUUGAGUUUGGGAUCAUCUUGGAUGCACCAAAUUCUAAGAUAACUCAUAGAAGUAGUAUGCUAUAUUCACACUAUUCAUUACACAUGUUGAUUUCCUCAGGAUGAAAGGCAGGUCAAACGAGAGAAAAGGAAGCAGGCUAACAGAGAAUCUGCAAGGAGAUCUAGGAUGAGGAAGCAGGCUGAAUAUGAGGAACUGGUGAGGACAUUUGAAUCGUUAAACACAGAGAAAAUGGCCCUUAAAUCUAAACUAGAAGAACUGAAAGGGGAUUCAGAGAAAUUGAGGCUUGAAAAUGCCACAUUAAUGGUAACUUCCUCAUAGAACUUAGUUACCAAUGCUUGAGCUGUUGAAGUUUAUGUUUUCAAGAAUUUUUUAUGCGUAUGCAAGUUGCCAUUUUUUCUUUUUCUUUAAUACAUGGAUUUGGAAAAGGCCAAAGGAGAGAGAAAUUUUUUUAAAGAAGCCAAAAUGGACAAAAUUGCCCUUAUUUAUUUUUGGAUUUCCUAAGGAAUCCUUUACAUUUGCAUGUCUUUGGUUUGAAAGUUGAGAGGUUUUUCUGUCUUUUUUGAAAAAGUUUUGGCUUUUUCCAAAAGUGAAAGUUUUUUUGUGGCUAAAACCUAAAUUUACUUUAAAUAAAAAAACUAUGCCAAAAGAACCAGUCUUAUAGGUUGUUCUCUCUGCAAAAGUGACUCACGGUGCAGAUACAUAUGAAUGGGUAGCAUUCCCAGUCCCAGCCCAUGGCUGGGGACAGAUGGUUGGGCUUUAGGUUAGUCGAAGCCUUUGCGUAUGCUUAUGCACCAGCAAUGGUUACCCAACUAGUAAAACUCCAUGCAUAUUUUUCCCAAGAAACCAGAGGCAGUUGAACAAGUAUGUUCAGAGGGAGAUCUCAAUUUCUUAUACCCACCCAGCAUAUACUAAAGAGUAACCCAGGCAUCUACAUACUGAAUUAUCACAUUUAGUUGCUUUUGGUUGACAAAAAUUGACCAGAUGUCAGAAUUUAUGAUGCAGUCAGGAUGUAGUGUUGAAAUGAGUUUUGUUCAGUUAUGUUUGUAGCACGUGCUACUGAGUUAAGUUGACCAUGGAAAAUCAAGGAAAGCUGAUUUGGCCGAUCUGCUUGUUUCAACCUAAGCUGUAUGUGCAUUCACUUGUAGCUUGAUCUAACAUGAGUUUUAUCUUGUAGGAGAAGCUGAAACAUGCACAGGUAGUGCCGAAAGGAGGGAUUGCUUCAGUCGAGAUUGAAGUAGACUUGGACCUGCCAACUGGUACUGAGAACAUACUUAGCAAUUUGGGUUCUGUAAGCAGGAAUGCUCAGCUGGAUUGUGAGGCACAUGAAAGUUCUAUGUCUGAAACCAAGCUCCAUGCUGUUGCUGCUAGAUGAUCAAGAAGCUGGUGUUAUCAGCAGCCGUACAUCACACUUGCCCCAAUUUUUUGAUUUGUGGCAGACAGGAAAUUCCUAGUUGGAAGAGGGACAAAAACAGCAGUUGCUAAUUUAUUUUUCCCUUAGCAUUCAAGUCUCUUUUUCUGCUAUGAACUGUCAUCUAUUAGAUUUUAGAUUGCCCUGUCAUUUUUGGCAGUUCGUUAGGAUAGGCUAAACAGUGCUUUCAUAUGAAUAUGAACAUUGCAAAGGAUAGGUCUGGAAGUAAGUGAUUUCUAUUUGUUAUUGCAGACUUCCUGGUUUUGUGAAAUUAUUGGAAGCCGAUAUACAAUUUGAUCUGUUCUCCUCUUAAUGAUGUAACAAGUUAGGUAUCGAUUUGAUCCUUGUUCGAUAAAUUCAACCCGGUUCAUGAAUCAACAAGUAUCUUUAAUCUAUGCUGUAUGUAAUUCACAUUACUCCUACAUCAGUAAAUAUUGAUUUCAUCAUAGUACUGAGUUAACAUAACAUUAGUCAGCAAAGAAGCCUCUGAAUUGCUUUAACGUGAAGCUGCCAAUAAAAUCCUCUUUGUUUUGUUGAAAGAUAUGAUGGUAGGUGGAAAGUGCAAGUCAAAAGAGCAAGUUGAAGCAAAGCCACCAAAUAGCAUGAAAAAGGCUUUGUAAAAGAGGACUUUUCAUUGCAAAGAGUUUUGACUAUGUCCACUACUGAAACUUUCUAUGAUGAACUUUUGGAUCUGACCUAUUUCUGGGCCUCUUCUUUGUGGGGUCCAGUUGAGUUUCUCUUUUUUGGGUGCUGUCUUGAUCCUCAUGUAUAUCCGUAAUAGUUCAGUAUACAUACGUAUAUGCAUCCCUCAAAAGGUACUCCUCCCUUAGGAAGAAGGUGUCGUUUGCUUGCGAUAAUACAACAAUAAACUAUUUGACUCGGCAUUGUUCGCAAAGAUGAGGCUCAGAAAUCUCAAGGAUAACAUUCUUUAUUGAAUUUUCAACUGUAAAUAAAAAGGUUGCUUCAAAUAUGUCUUCAUCUUGGCCUUCCUUUUCUUCAUCAGUAAUGUCAAAUGCCGGCAAAACUACGUGCAUGUUGAUGCCGUGCUACCGGUCCAUUCAAAAUAUAAUACACGCAUAAUUAUUCGUUUGUAACCUUUAACUCUUAGAAUAUAUAUUAUAAUUAGUAUCAAUAUAUAACAUUACAUUGCAUUAACAUGUACAUGAUGUUACCGUCUCACGCAAUAACUUCUCGUUCAUACUUUUCACAUUGUCUUAUCUGACUAUUUAUCAUUUUGCCUCUACAGGUAUCACAUACGCUGGGGCAGCAGUAAAAAUAAGGAAUCUUUUAGGGUCAAAACUUUAAAUUGCACUUCUCUAUUGAUUUCUUUUUUAAAUGGGUAGUUAAUUCGGUUAAUCAGAUGGUCGCAUGUUCAUACUUGUCUAUAUCACGUGUGGAAACCAGCACAGAUUUAAUCAUGUUUAGCUGGUUGCUAUGUCCUAUACGAACAUGUAAAUACAUAUAUAUUAACUUCAAUUUUAAAACUUGUAUAUGCAAGUGGUAGUAAUUUAUUCUUAGUCAUGACCCUUCAAUCCUUGUUAAUCAACCCAACAAGGUCGUAUUCAAAUCUACAUAGAUACAUACUCAUCUUUCCCCAUAAAGUUGUUUACUUUAGACCUCAUUUCUUCUUUAUGUCAUUGCUUCCAAUUUUUCUUCCUCUUUAUUAGACAAAAUUGUUCCCAUCAUCCUCAUAAAAAAAAACUGUUCCUAUCAUAAAUGCUUUUUGUUUUUGGUUCCAAACCGCCAUUGUGGGAUUUUAUGACUGUUUGGUCCAAUUUUGAAUCUUAGACGAGUUUGGCCAUUUGGGUAACUGUUGCUCUGGAAUUGGUUUUUGUCCUGCUUUUCUAUUGCAAAAUUUGGAUCUGUUUAACAGCAAAAGUUUGGGUGUCCUUUUUUAAGAGGGGUUGCAGAUAUCUCGAGUCUGUAUUUGUUGGUGUGGUUAAGAGGAUCUGUAAUGCACAGUGAGAAGUUUGGCGGUGAAAGAAACCAAGGUAGAUAAAUUGGUAGUUGGGACUUUGGUUUUCAGUUCACAGGAAUAUUGAUUUGUCACAGGAAAGGUUCAUGUGAAAGUUGAGAUUCUCAACUGCUUGAUUGAAUGAUUUGCUGACCUUUUCUCUCUUAAGUGUUGGGAGAAGUCAUUUCCAGCCUUGAGGUCUUGUUUUGGUUUGUUGAGAGAGAGAGAGAGAGAGAGAGAGAGAGAGAGGUUCCUCCGUCUUCUUAUUUAUUCAAUUGAUGUUCUUACUGUGUUCUUGAAAUAAUGAAUCAUUCUGGAGCAACCAGUGAUCAGAGAGCAGCAGUUGAAGUCUCAAAGGAUAAGAGUGGAAUUGACCAAGUUCUGCUUCAUAACCCUCGAGGAGCUUCCGUUCAGGUUGGAUUCUUUUACCUCUCUAUUUCCAUUGUUUAACAGAUGCCCUCCAAGCUGCUUGUACUUUACUUGCAUUUUGAUGUUAUUAUGUGAAUUCAAUACAGGUUAGCUUGCACGGAGGCCAGGUUCUUUCCUGGAGGACUGAACGUGGUGAAGAACUGUUAUUCAUUAGUAGCAAGGUAAAAAAUUCAUCAUAGUUUUUAUCCAUUUCAUUUUAUUUAUUUAUUGUGCUUCUUUUUUGUGUCCUAGCUGUUGUAGACCCAUUCUGCAGUAGAUAGUUCUACCAUUAACAGUUCCUAAUGACCAUAUAAAUCAUGAACAAAUCGGAAAUUUGUAAAUUGAUUUCCCUUUUGCUGAUAUUUCUGGAUCAAAUUAAUAUGGUGUAAUGGACAACUUUGCAGGCAAUCUUUAAACCACCAAAAGCAGUGCGAGGAGGAAUUCCAAUCUGUUUUCCACAGGUAAUAUUUAUACAGAAUCACAGAUGUAUAUUAUAAAGCACCCUACCUUGGUUAAUUCUGGCUGAUUGGUUUGCUUGCUAAUAGGUUGGAAAUGGAUCAUUGGAGCAAAACGGGUUUGCCAGGAACAGGAUUUGGGUCAUUGACAAUGAUCCUCCACCUCUACAUCCCAAUGAUUCUAAUGGCAAAGCCUACAUCGACUUGCUGCUCAAACCAUCCGAAGAAGAUCUGAAGAUUUGGCCACAUAGGUAGCAGCAUGAAUUGUGAAAAAUGUAUCAUAGCAUGUUUUAUGAACUUCAAAUAUUUGUUUGUGAAAUAAUGUUUGGACCAUGUUUUGCAGUUUCGAGUUUCGUCUUAGAGUGUCACUGGCAGCAGAAGGGUAUCUAACCCUGAUAUCGCGUAUCAGGAACAUCAAUUGCAAGCCCUUCAGUUUUUCAUUUGCGUAUCAUCCAUAUUUCUCCAUUUCUGAUAUCAGGUACAGAAUGUUCAAAUUGCAAAUGGAAUUUGCCAUUCUUAUAAUUAAGCAUAAUCUGUGGAAGCUAGCAACAGUUUUGGCCUGCAGGCUUUUAAGGAGUGUGCUGGCCUCAUGUUAACAAUGAUACACACAAAUUUGGUUUCCAUGCUUUUGACUUUAAACAAACGAGUUUUCAUAUCCAUGUAUCUGGUUAUUAUCUUUGUCUACUACUCAGUUAUAUUUUGCAUUCUUCUUAUAAUUAGAAAUAUUCCCUUUAAAAUUUCAAAAAAAAAGGAAGAGAAAUUUGAAUUAUGAUAAAUUAUAGGAAGGACAUUCAGCACUUUCCCUAAAGAUAUCCAUGUCAAGUAGAUCCCAAAACAAAAGCUUUACAGGUCACUCCAUGAUUGCCAUCAGCUCAAUCAGAAAGGAGCAAGUAGUAUCAUAUUUUUGGUUAGCAAGUAGUAGAGUGAUGCUAAGUUUGACUAAGUUCUGAGCUUUAAAUGAAUAUAAUAUGAACUGACAGCGAAGUGAGGAUUGAGGGCUUGGAGACUCUUGACUACCUAGACAACCUAUUUCAGAAGGAGCGCUUUACAGAACAAGGUGAUGCCUUAACAUUUGAAUCUGAGGUAAUCAUGUUUUUCCAAAACCUUCUAAGCUUGUUAGUGGCCAAAAUAUGCUCCUUCUUAUGAAGUUUUCAUUUUUGGGCAGGUCGACCGGGCUUAUCUUAGGUCUAAAGAUGUGAUAGCUGUUUUCGAUCAUGAAAAGAAGAGGACAUUCGCCGUACGAAAGGAGGGACUUCCAGAUGUUGGUAAGAAUCGUGUGCUUAACCUCAGUUUCAGGAAAUGCAACCAAUAGCAUGUUAGCUUCCACAUGAUCAAAACACUCUCAUAUGCUUUAUAAUCAUCAGCAGGCGCUUAGCAUAAGGAGCCUUUACCCCAAAAAAAAAAAAGGAAAACAAAUGAGAUCCUUACUUGAAGGAAUUGAUUGGAAGCUGAAUUUAGUAAGCAGAGGAUGAGUUAUUUUUGUCAAUUUGGUAGUUAGGAACUAAGAUCUUCUGAAAAUCAUAGGCUUAGGGGAUCAGGGCAUUAAGCCAUAGAAAGUUUCUGUCUGAGAUUGGUACUUUACAUCCUUUUCCAUGUCAAAUGAAAUAUUUAUAUAUCUAGCCAUUUUGAUUAAGUAAUUAAUCUUUGUGUUCUUCAACUUUACAUGUACUCUCAGUUGUUUGGAAUCCAUGGGAGAAGAGAUCCAAAGCCAUAGUAGAUCUUGGAGAUGAAGAGUAUAAACAGAUGCUUUGUGUUAAUGGAGCAUCAAUUGAGAAGCCAAUCACCUUGAAGCCUGGUGAAGAAUGGACUGGCAGAUUGGAGCUCUCUGUUGUCCCUUCAAGUUAAUGAAUCGACUGGCAGAUUGGAGCUCUCGAUUCUGCCACAAGAGGCUUUCGAAGAUCCAAGGCAAGCAAAUAAAAAUAUACUAGAAGUAUUAGGGUCAAAAUGUGACUGUGCAAUAAGGAAAUCAAUAAGAACAUGAUCACCUUUAAUGUGGUUAUGAUUUUCAUUACAGAUUUUCCUUCAAAGGAGGUGGAGAUAUCUUUUUUUUCUUCUCCCCAUCGUAGCUAUACCCUAAAAUGUAAAUGGGUUAUCUUUACUUAUGAAACUUGUACACUGAAUGCAGAGUCAGUAAUAAUUCUUUUUCUCUCUUUCUGCAAGUCCUGGCACAAACAUUUGUUUUUCACCUUUAUUUAUUUUGCUAGAGACUAAAAUAAGAACUAAAUCUUUUGCUGAUCAUGCAUGAAACCCAAAAUUUGAAGCAGAAGAUAUGGAUCAACAUGCAGCAUCAGAUCAACUGCAUAAUCUGUUCAGAUGCUGCAUAUUGAUCCCAAGGCAUAUGAUCAAGUUUUAGUUUUAAAUUUGGUAUUCAGAACAUAUAUACUAGAAGAUUAAUUUGUGGUGCAUCCAGGAUUGGAUUUUCAAAUCAACUUUGGUUUGAUGCUCAAAUGAUCAAGUCGUUCCUGUGUUUAUUAUUAUUACGCAUCCAUUAACCCAUCAUUCCAUUAUGUUAAUAAUAAUAUAUAUGAUUAAUAUUAUCCCAGCAUGUAUAAUAUAUGACUAAUAUUGUUUUAUCCCAGCAUCCAUAAUCAUCCGUCGGCCGUGUGCUAUUGUUUUUAUCCAACAGCACGUCGAUUGCGGGUUAUUGUUUUACGCCGUUCCACAUCAUAAGUAUUCAACGGGCUUAUAGCAUUGUCAGCAAUAUUACACAGAUUGACGCCCUUAUACAUUCUGACAUAGCCUUCCUCGCCCCAGUCUUCGCCCCAGGAAUUUUUUACUAUCCAGUAGUCCUCGUGAUGAUCUUCGGUCCUCCCAUAGCCAACAAUUAGAACAGUGUGUUUGUUUUUAUAUGGGUUAUAGGAACAACCACCUCUAAGUAUACCACCUUGGUAUUCCUGAAAUCCUGCACCGAUUGAAAUUGAAACUGGGAUGGGCUGCCAGGCCACAGCCUUGGCUAGAUCGUAUUCGUUGGGAGGCACUUUCUUAUAACCAGUUAUCCGACCAAGAUGUUCGUCUGUCUUGCUGCUGUCACAUGUUCCCUGCUUAGCGACAUAGCCGUAAUUUUCUUCACUGUUGAGUCCUCCAUUUCGUAUUACAUAGUCAAAGGCGGCAACUGUGAAACCACCCUUGCAGCCGUCGGCAUUUCCACUGCAGUCCAAAAUUUGCUGCUCGGACAGUGAAGUAUUGAUACCAUAGUUCCAAGCCAUACUCCCUUCCACUGCUGCCACAGCAGCAAACGCCCAACAAGAACCUACAUAUAUAUAUUAUACCAAAAAAAUGGUCAAAAUAAUAUAGAAGAAAAUUUAUAUGGAUGGUAUCUAAUGUAAUGCUUCUUUUACCACAUUGCCCUUGAUUUUUCACCGGAGUGACCAAAUUUUCAUCCCUCCAAUCAAUGCUUACGGGAGGAAUAUCUGCAUAGUCGUCUUCAGCAACAUCAUAUGUAGAAUCUACUCCAAAUGAUGAAAUAUAUUUUGAGGGGUCGUCGUUUUGGCAUGAAGCAUAAAUUGACAAGAACUCUUCAGCUGUCAUGUCAGAAAACAUAUUAAUGCCUUUCUUAAAUGAACUUGUUUUCCCUUCUUGUUGCGUGUUGAAAAGUUCAAUCGACUCAAAUCUGGUUCUAAAAAUUCCAAAUCGUCUCUCUUUUUCAGAAUUAUUCGGAUAUGUGCGUUCAUGCUUUAUCAUCCAUCUCUCGAAUUCCUGUGAAAUAUUCACUGAGGUGAUUUGUGACAUACCUCUGUGAAUACUUCCCAGUAACAAGAUGAUGAACCAUAAAAUAAUCCAAGCCAUUGCUUAGUUUUUCAACUGAUCGAUGUAUUAAUGUUAAUUUUCUCUUUAUACUUCACGGUAUUUAUAGACUUCUUCUCAUACUUCCAUUUUUUUAAGGUGUUAGAAGUCAAGCUUUAAUCAUUGGAGGAUGACUUUUGAUUAAGUUUACCUUGUGUGAGAACAAAUAUUUCGGUAGGCAAUAAGCAAAUCACACAUGGAAAAAGUAAUAUUCCUUAUAUUAACUAAUUACUCCAAUUAAAUCCUAUUUAAUUAGGGAAUUAUCUUUUAUUUAAGAUAGAAAUAUCUCUCUAAAUCAAGAAUUCGAUUUCCAGCAAAUCUCUUUGAUUAAUUCCUAUAAUCUUUUUUGGGUAAGGAUAAUUCUAAUUAAAUAUGGAUUAUUCUUCAUACCCUAGCAAGCAAAGAGUCUAUAAAUAGAUGGCUACACAACACACUCCGACCUUUAUGUUAUCUCCGCAUCUUUCUCAAGAUCAUUUAACUUACUUAGGCAUCGGAGGGCCUUUGGCUAACAUCCCCCAAGUGUGAUCCGUUGACCUAGAUUUGUUUUAUAAGAACUAAGGAAGAAGAAAGAAAAGGAAGCUCAAAUGGUGGAAGAAUUACAAGCAAAUAUUCCUUCAUGUGGAAAUUUACUCAAACAUUUUGGUGCUUUCAUUUAGAGCUAUGAAAUAUACUUAAAGCGUUGCUAUCAAAUUUAAGGAAUUUGUUUCCUUCCGUUCAUCACUCAACCAAAGCCUUCCAAAUAAUCAUGGUUGGAAGCAAGACCGUCGUGACGAAUCAAUCCACAACGGAUCCAAGCUUCCAUGACGUCGUGGCAUCGAGACAGCCACCAAUUUCCGCUUACUCUCGUCCCCAGGGCCGAGAGGCACUAUUCCUGUGCCAGCCACUACGCCUCUUUAUGGUCUUGCAGCCAGCAUUACCGUGCAGCUGCAAGGACUAGCCGCUCCAACAGCCAUCACCUUUUAGGUUUCACUACUGGAUCCAAGGACUACCAUCAUGGAGCCGCGGCGACGCACAGCGAAACCUCCAACCUUAGCGCCGCAACCGACUACGGCCCGAUUAUGGAACAAAUACGUCAAUUCCCUCAUUUGCCACCAUGCAUGACAUUUGCUGCUCCCUGGCACACCUCCAACGAAACCCUAGCCCAAAUGCCAUUAGGCUCCACAUAAUUUUCUCCUCUUGAUCCUAGUAGCCAAGCAAACCUCAAUCUCAUAGUCAAACAACUGAUCACAGAGUCGAUGACCAAAACCAAUUGGUUGGUCAACUCCUCAGGCAUAUUGACCUGGUCUGCGACCUUGGACUCAGAUCCCAUGGUGAAGAGAGAAGGAUGGACAAAUACACCGACAGACAGGUUGAGCAGGUGCAAGCUAGCAAGGAGAAGGACAAAAACGUACUGCCCAGCACGCUAACAUGUCACAAGGCCAAGGUAGAACGAGUCUCUAUUUGAGAUUUGGUCUAAAGACCAACGUGCACGAAAGGUUGAGCUCACGAUCCAAGAGUGUUCGCUCAAAGCUAGGCUCAUAAGGAGAUCAACCUCGUGAGCUCAUGAGGUAAAUGAAGAAAGAUGUUCACCAGCCAGCACUAGAAGAGCUAAUUUAUUACAAAAGCCAUAUAAAAUCCAUCGCAAGCUCUGUCCACCAAUACAAGGUGCAGGCAGGACAACCGAGGAGAUCAACCCCCGAGAGUCAAUAAGAAUGUCAAUCAGCGACCCCCGCAUCAUGGGAAACACCGACUUGAGCCGCAAGCCUUGUGAGUAGAGGACAUCGAGAGCCUCGUGAAUAAUCGACUUUGAGACUUGAAGGUUGAAAGAGACUUAGAGGAUGCCCUGAGCUAGUAGAUGGACCAAGUGAGCUCUUCUCCAUUCACUAAUAAGAUAAAGCAGGCGGCCCCGCCAAAGGGAUUCACAGCGCCUCAAGAGCCAUCUGAAGCAUUUCAAGAGUGUCACGACUCUCUACAAGUACGAGGAUGCGUCAAUGUGUAAAGCAUUUGCAAUGACCUUGUAAGGAGCAGCUCAAGACUGGUUCCAUACCUUACUAUAUAGGUUGAUCAGCAGCUUUAAAAAGCUAACACUCGUCUUCACAAAGAAGUACACCUCCUACCUGACAAUCAAGAAGCAGCCUUACCACCUAUUCAACUUGCGCAAGAAGUAUGAUGAGUCUUUCCGAACCAACAUCAAGAUGUUCAAGGCCGAAAAAGCAAAUAUUGUAGGAUGCGAUGAUUGGAUCACAUCCUCUACUUUCAAGAAAGGCCUACCAGCAAAGCACGACCUAUAUUGCGGGCUAACCAUCACUCUCAGCCAUACUCUGGCAGAGGUCUUCGCUACUGAAAAAUGCUACGCACUCUGGGAUGAAAAUCAGAUCGCCACCAAAAAGUUUGCCAAGCAAGUCGACCAACUGCCCAGGGAAGCGGGUCAAAGGAAUGUUAGAUCCAGCAGCAAGACCAUGGGGGAAAUUGAAAGUUGCAAUCUCAAGAGAGCGCCCUAACAGAUGAAAGCUACGCUGAGUUAUCCAUCUCGAUACAUCAAAUCUUAACCAAAGUGAAAGACAAUCCCUGGCUUUGGAGACCAUCACUCUUGAAAUGAGAUCCAAUUAAGAGGGAUACCAAAAUGGAUCGGCAAGAUCAAUGCCCUCACUUUUGCUAUAUAUCAGAAAAUUUGAUACCCAAUUCAUGGGGGCGGUGUCGAGCAGAUCAACAGCUAUAAGGCGAUGGCGAGAAGAUGCUUAGCCCAAGGGUUGAAUAAAAGCAAGCAAGCCCAGUUCAUACCGCUAAGCCGAACAGAACAAGCAGAGGAGAAAGCAGAUCCUAUUCUCAAUAGUCAAGUAGACCAGAAGGGAAAGAGUAUAGUAAUCUCCCAAUAGAAAUUAGAGAGCCAAGACCAAAACGAAGGAAUCCAUCUGGAGGUCUUUCCUGAAGAAUGAUGAAAGCCCGAAGAAUACAUUGAGCUAGUACCCAUUGAUCCUGACAAGCCAGAUAGAAUAUUAUUUGAAAAUAUUAAGAAUAUUUUAUAACGUAAAUCAAUAGUUCAAACCGCACUCAAAGGUAUGGCAUUUCCCAUUUUUAUAGGAACUUAUGUACAAUAUACCAAGUGGGCUCCACUUUGCCACAUCACUCACUCAAAUUGGAGUAAAUGACCUAGGUGCGCAAAAUUACUAUAACACUCAUACCACAUCAUCAAACUUAACGGACUUUUAAUGUUAAUGGAAUUGGGUAAUGUAGAACAUCAAACCUUGGUCAAUGGGGCAAAGUGGGUCACUUUGACUUUAAAGGGGUAAAGUGAGAUUUGACCAAUGUUUCAGUAUGCACUGUAGCACUUAAGCCUUUUACCAAUAAAAUUUCUCUGAUUUCAUCGAGGUUCUCUAAAAAAAAUGGAGGCAAAGGCGGACCUACGUUAGGACUGUAGUGGGCUCCAAUCUAGUCCUAUUUUUUAGAGUAGGCUUAAUUUGUAAGCCAAAUUUAGAUAAAUCAAAUUUCAGCCCAAAGCUUCUCUCUAUCUCUCUCCAUUUUCUUUCUCUUUCUCCUUUAAUCCCUUUGCCCCUUUUCUUCUUUCUUUUCUCUCUCCUUUCUCUCAUCUUUUUCUUUCUUCUCUCUCUUUUCUUGUUCUUCUUCUUUCUCUUCGCCAUUUUUAUUUUCUCUUUCUUUCAUUUUGUCUUCUCUAUUUGUUUCUCUUUUGUUUUAUUAAGUCUCUGUUUCUCUCUUCUUUUUCCAUGCGUUUCUCUGUUUAUGUAUUGACGAUGGUUUUAUGUUGUGAAGAUGUUAUGAGCUGAUGUUGAACAGGUGGUUUGACUAGCUUGAUAUUGUGGGAGUUUUGGUGGAGGACCCGACUAUAGUCCGAAUCACAUAAGUGUCCAAAAAUAAUUUAGCCAAUCCCUGUAAAAAAAUCCUAGAUCUGCCAUUGAAGGGAGGUACAACCAAUGAAGAUUUGUUUUACCAAUAAACUUGUAUAUUAGGAUAUAUAGAGUAUUGUUUUGCCAAUAAGGAAAGGAUAAUAAAUAAACCCAAAACGCAAUGACACAGACAGAGGACCGAAUAAAAAGACAAUAAUAAGUAAAUAAAACUCCAGCACUAAAAUUGCCACCAACAGAGACUCGCCGCCGCCGCCGCUGUGAGCUUAAAGAAACGCUCGCUUGGUGGAGUUGAAAAGCCUAAUGGCAACGGAUCUUAAUUGGAUGGUGAGGAAAAACAGGCAAAUGAAAACAAGCAGAAAAAUAUUAAACCAGAAGUUGAUCAUUGUGGAAUUGAAGUAGGAGGUUCCUGCACAACUACCAGAAAACCUCGGUGUAGGGGAAGAGGAAGAGUUAUCAUCAUGAUCCCCUUGCUCUUGCUUCUUGUUGAAAUUGUUCUUGAAUAUUUCAAAACGUCUUUCCCUCUCUUCACUGUUCAGGUAGCUGCGUUCAAUCUCCGUCAGCGAUCGCUCAAAUUCCUCCGUAAUGUUCAUGGCCGUUGCUGUUGCUUGGGAUAUAGAAGCCACACAAGUCCCUACCAAAAUCAUAAUGAUGAAUAACAUACGACUGAAGAAAAAAGUCAUUGCUAAUUCAAAUCAUGACACUGUUUCACAAAAAGUCUCAAACCCUCUUAUAUAACCACUAGCCACCGCGUGCCGCGUGAGGAGGGAAGGCCUUUCCAGCAAAGCUUUUUAUUAUUGUCCUUAAUUUUAUUUUUCCACAAGUCCGUUUUGAUUUUAAAGUGAGAAUUUUAAAAAAAAAAAUUAACAAUUUAUCAGAGCCUAGUUUCGAUCUAGGGACCUGUGGGUUAUGGGCCCACCACGCUUCCGCUGCGCCACUCUGAUUUGUUAAUUAUAUAUUAUUAACAAAGAUAUAAGAAGACGGCAGCAGCAAUACCAUAUGCAUGCAGUAGAAAACCUAUUUAUUUGCUACGUACGUCAUUAAUUUCAGACCACAUGCAAAAAUAUUUGUAGCCAACAAACCCAUCUCAUGGGGUUUUGAAAUCGAAUUCUGAUUUAUCUAAUUUAGAUUGUAUAGGUAAAUUAUUUUGUAGUUAUACUAAUUUAAUUAUAUUUUAUAGGUAUUUACCUAUAUUUUGUAAAAAGAUAGGUACAUUAUUUAGAUUUAUAUUAUAUAGGUUCACUAUUUAUCUAUAUGCACCUAUACUUUUCAGGUCCCUAAUUUACCUAGAUUAUAUAAGUAAAUUAUUUACCUAUAACUCUUUAUGUUCUUCAUUAAGACUAUGUAUAUUAAUUUACCUAUAUUUUUAAGUACAAUGAUUUACUUAUAUUUAAAAAUACAAUUUAAAUAGGUACAUAAUAAUUUUGAAUUUAAAAGAAUGGGUACAUUAAUCUAUAAAUGAAAUUUGAAUUAAAGAGAAUUGGUAACAAUUGAUGGAAUGAAAAUUUGAAUAUAUUGCAAAAUAAAAAAUCCCCACGCCCAAAGAACACAUAGAAACUAAAUUAAUUGUAAAAGAAACAAAUAAGUUGCCAAUUUGGAGAAGAAAAAAAAUAAACAUUAAAGCGGGUGUAUCCAAUUCAAAUUUUUAAUGAAUUUUAUAGAGUUUAAAAGUCUGGAGGUAUUCAAUUUAGAUUUUUAAAGAGUUUAUAAAAGUCUAAUGGUAUUCGAUAGUGAUUUUAAAAAUUCUUAAAAAUUUUAAAAGUUUUGUGUUAUCCAAUUGUGACUUUUAAAAAUUCUUUGAAAAUUUGGUGGUAUUCAAAAAGUUAAUGACUUUUAAAAAGCUUAUUAAAUGAAGGAUUUUUCCAUACUUUUAAGACUAAUUUGUUAAUAACAAAAGCCCUAAAAAAAGGAAAUAUGAUAAGAAGCCUAUAAAUACCAAGCAGUAUAUGGCCCGAAGUGGAUUGGCCUGUGCUCGAUGGGCCAAAGCCCAGCUCGAUUAGUUGUGUAAGCCCAAUCGGCCAGGUCCAUUAUAAGAAUAGAUAGGACUUGGGCUAAGAAUUUGAAAUCCUAAAUCGAACGGCCGUCUAAACUCAAGCCAGUCUGCGUAUAAAUAUAUUUAAGAAUAAUGUAAUAUGCAAGAGUAGUUUCAUAGGGGACACAUUUGACUAUGUGAAACGAAAUAAAAGACUCAAUAGUGGAGCAAGUUACGGCUACAUCAAUAAGCACGGAACAUAUGACAAAUGAACAUGUUUGGUAGAUAACUGGUUAUGAGAAAGUGCCCCCCAUCGAAAAGGAUCUAGCCAAGGUUGUGGUCUAGCAGGCCAUCGUAGUUGUUAUUUCAGUCAGGUAGGAUUUCAGGAAUACAAAGGUGGUGUACUUAGAGAUGGUUGUGCCUUUGUUUUUUCUUUUCUUUUCUUUUUCUUUUUUUUUUUUGGCCAUAUACCAGCAUACACUUUGUUCUAAUUGUUGGCUACGGGAAGAAUUGUCACGAUGACUAUUGGAUAGUAAAGAAUUCAUCGGCGAAGGUUGGGGCGAGAAGGGCUAUGUGAGAAUUUAUAGGGGUGUCAAUCUUUGUAAUACCACUGAUGAUUCUAUAAGUCCGUUGGAUAAAUAUAGGGACCCGCAUAAAACGAUAACACGUAGUUGACCCGUUGGAUAAUUAUGGAGAUUGGGAUAAAACAACAUGGAGGAAUGGGAUAAAAUAAUAACACACGGAUGAUCCAUUGGUGUCAAAUGGGUCAGGUCGACCUACCACUGUAUAAGUUUGGCUCGUUUAAAUGAGGCACGAUAUAGCUCAAGUAUGAUUCUUGUCAAGCUGUGUCAAGCACAACCCCAAAUUUGGACCUUUGUCGGACUCGAUGAUGCCCAAUGAGUCAAGCCGGCCCAAGGCAUGAUAUGAGUCGGGCCGACUCGACACAUGACAUGAAUCAGACUAACUCGAGACAUGACAUGGAUCAAGCCGACUCAAGACAUGACAUAGGUCGUGUUUGGCCUGAGCCCGUUACAGGCCCAACCCACUUAUCAUAGAAAAUUAAUAAUAAUGUCAACGGGAUUUAAACCUAGCACAUUUUCAAGCAAAAACUCAACCAACUUACCACAUCAAUUAUCAUGCUUAUUUUGAAUAAAGUAGAAAUUAAGAUUAUAUAACAACGAAAUAAGUUGUGGGUGCUAGUUUGUCAUUAUAUCAAUGAAAUAAAAUGACAGAAAAUUCUCGUUAAAAAAACAGGAAGUUAAAAUGGGCUGGUGGUUUGGCCCAAUCAUGCUUUGCAUGAGCCUGUAGCUGAUCAUCCAUGGAUGAUAAGCCAAAAAUUGAUGAAAAAGUAUCCUAAUAUAUCAGAGCCUAGUUUCGAUCUAGGGACCUGUGGGUUAUGGGCCCACCACGCUUCCGCUGCGCCACUCUGAUUUGUUGAUAUUAUUUUGUAAUUUGAUCUAUAUGAACCUUCUUUAUUCUCAAAAGGCUUCCCGAAUAACAGAGGCACAUGUUAGGCCUACUACAUAUAUUAGUGCCAUUAAUUUCAUAUCACAGAUAAAAAAAAAUUACAAAUUUAAUUAUAUACCUAAUCUUAGACAUAGUCUUAUAAAGAAACACUAUAUUAUUUAAAAAUUAUAAACACACUAUAAAAAAAACCCCCAAAAAUCGACAAUUGUAUAUUUUUUAAUUUAAAUAAUAAGAUGAAAUAUCUUUAUUACCCUUUUAACAUAAAAUUGGAAUUCUAAUCUCUUUAUCUUGCGUUGAAGUCAGAGUAGAACUCAUUUCACGAGCUCUAGUCUCUCAUCUUCAUCUUCAACCACAGUUUUCAGUUUUUGUUAUUCCAUUUCUUAUUUUGAAAUCACCUUUCUCUUCGGACUUUUUGGAUUGUGCGGAUGUCUACGUCUCCUCUCCAUUAUUGGCUCUGACACUUUUCAAGGGACCAAGCCUCAGCUCGCCAAAUCGGAUCAUCUCGACCUCUCCAAAUUCGUACUCCUAUACUUUCUUCUUCAUCUUUUUGUUUUUGGUUGUAGAUUUGUGGGCGAAGGUAUGAGAUUGAAAUUAAGGUGGAAUGUUACAGCGAUAUCAAAGGAACCUCUAUCUCGACAAGUCAUCGUCUCGGCGUAAACGACAGCCGAGGACCUCACCGGUUGUUCUAGAGUACUGCACAACGCUAGUGACUUGUCGUCUUCAGUUGUGGAGGAAGAUGGAGAUUUCGCCGUGUCGUCAUCGUCGUUGUUUGGUUUGGACUUGGAAUUUUUGAUCUUUUGCUUCAAUUAUGUGUUUCUCUUUGGAUUUUAGUUAAUUUGAGGAAUGUAUUUUAAGCUUUGAUAAUCAAUUUAUCAUUACUAUUUAGGUUAUGGAUCUCAUUUUUGUUUAACAAUCUACUUCUAUGAUAGAGUAUUAACAAGAUAGUUAUAUGACAGAGUAUUGACAGUGUACUUCUAUGACAGAGUAUUGACAGUGUACUUCUAUGACAGGGUAUUAACAUGUACUUCUACGACAUAGACUACAAGAUAGUUUUAUGAUAUAGUAUUAACAAUGUACUUCUAUGAAGAGCCCCUGCUUGGUUUUAGCAAAUUUUUUUUAAAAUAAAUUGUUUGGGUUUUUAAAAAAAUUUUGGGCUGGGCUUGUUUUGGGUUUUUUUUUUCAGUUUUUAGUUUUGGUUUUUUUAUAAAGCUAAUUAGUGGCAAUCAUAUCAUCUAUAGGAACUUAAACACCAAUUUCUUAUGCAGUAAAUGAGUUUUAGGGAUGUUUCUAAAGUGCUUCCAUGUGAGGUUCUUUAUAUAUAUAAUUUCAGCCUAUAUUUUGAGUAUAAUAAUGAAGUUCCCUAAUAUUUUUAGCAGGGAAAAAAAAAAAAAAAAACCAUCUCAGUGCCCCACUCACUAUUUUAUAAUAACAUAUCAUAAAUAAACACAUCGAUUUGUUUUGGGGGAGCUUCUGUAAUGAGGGAUAAAAGUGAAAGAUUAUAAUGAGGGUAUUCAAUCCAGCGUCCAAUAAUAAUUUUGCACUAGAUCGAACGACUAUUAAGUAACCCCUCAUUAUAAGUCCUCAUUUUUACCCCUCAAUAUAGCCUCCAAGAGGUUUGGGUUGGGUUGCACCAACAAUUAUACUUCAAUGAAGAUGGUUAGUUAGUUUAGUUACUAAAUGGGACCAUAUAUAGAGAAACGUGUCCAGCAUGUCCGUGAAUUGAUAACAACCUUUGAUGUGUUGGUUUAAGGUUUUAUGAGGAACAACAAAACCAAACCUAUCCACCCAACAACUCCUUGGCUACGAAUUAAAUCCAUGGAAUAACAAGUGGGCAGUGAGGCUAAAAUCAUCAAGUCCCUCCUAAUGGAGGAGGUCUUGGAUGGACCGGAUAGAUCAAAAUACAUAGAAAAUUUGACUUUUGUGUGGGUGAUCAGAUACAAUAAUCCGACCGACAAACAUAAGAAUUUCUCUUCAAUCAGAUCAUUAAAAAUUGCUUACUUACCAACCUUCUAGGAGGAACAACUAAACCAAACUUAUUCACCCAACAACUCAUUGGCUACUAAUUAAAUCCAUGGAAUAACAAGUGCGCAGUGGGGCUAAAAUCAUCAAGUCCCUCUUAAUGGAGGAGUUCUUGGAUGGAUUGGAUAGGAUCAAAAUACAUAGAGAAUUUGACUUUUGUGAGGGUAUCAAAUACAAUGAUCCGACCGACGGAUACAAGAAUUUCUUCUCAAUCAUAUCAUUAAAAACUGCAAACUUACCAACCUAUACUCCUUAUGUACCUCAUUAGAGCAUUUGUCAAUCAUUCAGGUUCUGUGCUGAUAGCUAAAGCCUAAAUUGAUGUCAAAGUUCAGUCAAUAUUGCACAUAUAGUUUGGAUAGAUAAAUCCAAAAUCUCUUAAGUUAUGAAUUGGGAUAAAACUGUAAAAUAUGGGUUUACUUUCCAAAUAAAACAAAUAGUAUUGACUUAUAAACUCCACCUUCUGCACACACAUCAUCAUUAUUUUUACCAAAAUUAUUCAGUAAUUUCUUAAAGCAGGUCAUUGCUCAAAUGGGGUUUUCAAGUCUUGAUGACUUUUCAAAGACAUUGAUUAAUUGAGCUCAGUUUGUCAUUUAAGCUAAUUCCUUGAAGCUCAAGGUUAAGAGUCUCCCAAUGCUUACUAAAGAAGAAGUAUUCUAAUAUUCCCUAUCCAAAGUACAUGAGGCCAGAUUUGGCAAAUCAAACUGCUAAACACAUAACAGACAGCUGCAUCUUAUCUGUUUUUUUUUUUUUUUUUGCAUGCUCCUCUACCAUGUAUUAAUUAAUUCCAUUUUCACCUCCAAUUCAAACAUGCAAUUCCAACUCUACAAAAAGAAUGCAACCCAAAUCAAAGCACACAGGAGGAGGAGGGCAGGUUCUUCUAGCUAGCUAAUUAUGCAAACCUCCAAAUUGUAACAUGCCCUUUGACAAUUUGGAUGCCCUUUUGAAAGAGAAGUUCUUGACACCUGUCACAAUCUGGUGGAUUCAUCCACUGGUGGGCACCACACUAGGAACCUAGCUCCAUGCUAGCUUUAAAAGUAGAACCAUAAUGAAGCAUUUUGCACCAACCAGCAUGGACAAGAAUGGCCAUGGUGUUAAGAAUUUAUUUGUGAUGAGAGCCCUCGAAAAGGAAAUGGCAGUUCAUAGUUGGCUGAGGGCCUAGACAUGCAUUAGGACAAGAGUGGGUGUGUUUCCAUAAGAAACAGAAGAAGAAGACAGAUUAGGGGCCAAAAAAAAAAAAGUGGACAUAUAAUUUCAACUCUGUCAAAAGUAGCAAUAUAUAUGAUUGGCCAUAUUCUUUGUCAAUUUUAAAUAUAUUUUUUAAGUUAUAUAUCUUAUAAUUAUGUUCAACUUUCUAAGGAAUAAAAAAUAAAAAAACUUAAGUCCACACCAGGUCCCAUGAGGGGGGAGAGAGAGAAUGAUUCUUUUGUACAGUAUUUUUUCUUUCAUUUCUCAGAUUAAUUUUGCUUAGGGAAUAGGGCCAUUGGACAAUGGUGGUUGAUGCCUUGGUGGAUAUAUAUUUCUAAGGGAGACUUUGGAAAAGCCCAAAGGAGAGAGAAAAUUUUUAAAAGAAGCCAAAAUAGACAAAAUUGCCCUUAUUUUUUUUUUGAUUUCUUAAGGAAUCCUUUACAUUUGCAUGCCUUUGGUUUGAAAGUUGAGAGGUUUUUCUGUCUUUUUUGAAAAAGCUUUGGCUUUUUCCAAAAGUGAAAGUUUUUUUAUGGGUAAAAUCUAAAUUUACUUAUUUCUAAUUAGGUGUAAAGAGUUUAAUAAUAAUGGCAUGGGACCUAUGCUUACAUACAUAACAGUAACUGGUGUGCUGAGAUAAUGAACCUAAACAUAAUAGAAGAAUUGACUUUUAUCAACCAAUGCUUUAAAGAUUGGAACUUCUCCAAUCAACUCAAAUUGCUUUUUUUUUUACUAUUUAUUAUUUAUGUCGUUCAACUUUAUCCAUGUGCUCAAACACAAAGGAAAAUUGUGGUGGUUGGGUUUAGAUUGGAAGGAAGUGGAGUUCGUGUUUUUAUAAGUUUCAUCCCUUUGAAGAAAUUUGUAAAACAUAAUAUGUUAAAUUGUUGUCUAAUGUAUUUAUAAGUUUGUUAAAGAGCGAUUGUUGUCUACCUUUAUAGUUAGAUUGUUCCCUCCUUCUCUUCUUCUCUCAUUUUCAAAGACAAAGUUUUCUCUAUUUGUCUUGAUUUUGUUAUGAUUUUAGACCUGCGUUUUGGCAUUGGAUAUCCAUCAUUAUCCUUUUUGCAGUUUCUUUAUGUUUGGAAUAAAUUACCGAGACUCUUUAGGUUCUAUGUGUAGUUUUCACCUCUCAUUUUGUAAGAGUUUUUCACCUCGCCUUUAUGAGAGCUUUUCAUCUCUUUUUUGUGAGAGUUUUAUUUGUAUUGUUAUGACUUGGUUUUUUCAAGCUUUAUCUAUUUUUGAUUAUUCUGAGUUUGUAAUCUUAGUUAGGAUGACUAUACCAGAAUUUCUUCGAUCGUGCGUGAUUGUUAGUAGAGGCGCAUCAGAUUAUCUUAAUUUUGAUGUUAGACCCCUUUGUUAUUGUAAUGGUCCUUUGUGGCUAGUUUGUAUUAGCUCUUUGUAGAGAGUAACUUUUUUGGUUAAAUUAUGAAUGCAAUCCUAAAAUUUUUCAAAAACAAAAAAAAACUAUUAAUUUAAUUGGAAUAGUUCAACUUCGAGUCACCAAACAUUGGAUUUUUUAGGUAACAAAAGUAAUAUAGAGAUUACUAUGUAAACAAAAUGUUAUGCCUUAUUUGGAUAGGAUAAAGUGGUUAACAGCCCAGAAUUUUUUAUAUUAAAAAAAGCAGAGAUGAAAAUAAAGAGUUACCACAGUAAAUAUUAUCUCUCAGUCACUGUAAAACAAAAAGUAAAAUUAUCUCUGGUCAGAUUUUGAAAACCAAAAGAAGUCAAAGAAAUGCCGUCAUGCAAUCGAACGGGCUCUAUGCACCCACGCAAAACUCGGAGCCCGAAUCGGCGGCGAAGAUUAACCGAAGACCUCCUCUCGUCGUCGUUAUCGUUAAACGACAGCACGGGGACGAGAGCACGUUGGUUCAUAUUUAUCAAGAAAUUAAUUUCGCGCGGGUCCACAUAUCAGACGUAGACGAGACCACGUCACUAUCGCAACCCUACCCACAAUAACGGCGUUCCGUCCACCUAGUCACGAACUCAUGAUCCACUCUCUCCCACUACCGAUGACUUAUAAUUACUCGCCUCCCUUCCCCCAACCUCCUCUUCAUCCCCGGAAGCCCUUCGAAACUGCCAACUUAAGUAGCGGUUUUUCUGUUCUUAUUAUUUUAUUAUUUUCUUUUUUUUGGUGAAAGAAAGAAAGAAAAAGAAAAGAAAAAGUAAAUUUUUGGUCCAUUGGGCAACAGUUUUUUUUGUUUGCAGGUUCAUUCAUCUUGGAUGCUAUUUUAGCAGCACCAUCAGUUGAGAGUCAUCAUAACAUGUACGUUUCCACUGCGCUCUCUCUCUCUCUCUCUCUCUCUCCACUCAUACUCUGCUGUUCCACAUUUUACUUUGUGUUCUGAAAGAGUGAAUUUUUUAAAUUGUUUUGGUCUCAGAGGCAGAGUUGCACUAAUUUUGGACUUGGGUUCACUCUAAAACCAGAGGACUUUGUUGGGUCAGAUCUGAAACUGAAAGGAAAUGGUGGGCAGGUGAGUUGAGCUUCUGGGUACUUUGGUUUUCAUUUUUACUUGUUUGUUGAAAUGUUUUCCCAUGUAUAAAUUUUGGGUUUCUGCUAUUUUUGAAAUUUGAACGGCAAAGUUGAAAGAAACAAAGUUACAAAGAACAAAGAACAAAAAGAAAGCUCGGUUUCUGGUGGUACAUACUUUGCUUUUGCAUAAUAAAAUAUGUUCCUUUUUGACUAUAAACACGAUAUUCAAAGCCUGCAAGUUUCCAUUUUUUAUAGCAGAAAUUUCUCAGAGUCACCUCUACUUUUUCUCGACAAUAGUCUUGGAAUCUGAUUUUUUUUCCUUUCUCUUUUCGCUUUACAUUCUGUCUUUUGUAUUUUUAACUUAAUUUGUUUCUAUAUUUGUUUGUGCAUCUUCAGCCAAAACCCUGAAGGGCCAGAACCAUGAAAAGAGAGAAACUUUGCAGAAACAGCUCGUUCUCUGCUUGUAGUGUUGGGGAUUUUGGUAAGGGGAGAGUGAGGGAAAUGGCAGGUCGUUGCAUUCUGUAUUGGAUUUUCUUGCUGGGUUUGGUUUUCUUGCAAGGAAAUGCAGACCCAGUUGAAGAUAAGCAAGCCUUGCUUGAUUUUGUGAACAAUCUCCCUCACUCCCGCUCUCUUAAUUGGAAUGAGAGCUCUCCUGUGUGUGACCAUUGGACUGGAGUGACUUGUAGUGAGGAUAAGUCUUAUGUGAUAGCCGUCCGAUUGCCCGGCAUUGGAUUUACUGGCCAGAUACCACCUUACACGCUUAGCCGCCUCUCAAGGCUGCAAAUUUUGAGUCUUAGAUCCAAUGUGAUAAGUGGGCAGUUCCCUUCUGAUUUCUUCAACCUCAAAAACUUGUCUUUCCUCUAUCUCCAAUUCAAUAACUUCUCUGGACCAUUGCCCGGGGACUUCUCAGUUUGGAAGAACCUCACCAUUGUCAAUUUGUCUAACAAUCACUUCAAUGGGAGCAUUCCUUAUUCGCUUUCCAAUUUGACUCAGCUUUCAGGCUUGAAUCUUGCUAACAAUUCCCUUUCUGGUGAAAUUCCUGAUCUCGAAUCAAGCAAGUUGCAGCAGCUAAACUUAUCUAACAACAAUCUCAAUGGUAGUGUUCCCAAAUCACUUCAGAGGUUUCCAAGGUCGGUUUUCGUGGGUAACAACAUUUCUUUUGCUAGUUUCCCACCCAGUCUUCCUCCUGUUCUUCCACCCGCCCCUAAACCAUAUCCGAAAUCUAAGAAUGGUGGGAAGCUUGGUGAGACAGCAUUACUAGGAAUUAUAGUUGCUGGUGCUGUUUUGGGCAUUGUGGCGUUUGCAUUUCUAAUACUUGUUUUCUGCUCAAGAAGAAAACAGGAAGAUGGGCUUUCUGGAAAGUUGCACAAGGGAGAAAUGUCACCGGAAAAAGUGAUCUCAAGGAGUCAAGACGCGAAUAAUAAACUGGUUUUCUUUGAGGGCUGUCAUUACGCAUUUGAUCUGGAGGAUUUAUUGAGGGCUUCUGCUGAGGUACUUGGAAAAGGGACAUUUGGUACAGCAUAUAAGGCAAUAUUAGAAGAUGCAACCGUUGUGGUGGUGAAGAGGUUGAAGGAUGUAAAUGUUGGGAAGCGGGACUUCGAGCAACAUAUGGAGAUUGCUGGCAACAUUAGGCAUGAAAAUGUGGUUGAACUGAAGGCAUAUUAUUAUUCCAAAGAUGAGAAGCUAAUGGUAUAUGAUUACUACAACCAGGGGAGCGUCUCUGCUUUGUUACAUGGUAUGUUACUAUCUUCCAUCCUUGAUGAGUGUUAACUUGAUAACUGUAAUUUUCUCUAUUUUGAAAAUUGUUGAAUGCAAAUAGCUGAUUGUUGUACUUCUUAUUUUGGAAAUUAAUAACCUUUAGAUCCUGUACAUCAUAGAAGUUGUCUGUUUAUAAGUAGUCAUCUGUAGCUAAAAUUGUUUGAGUAUUUUUCACUUCAAUCAUUCUGAAUAAUUUGUUGGAAUUGUACUACUAAGUAUAUGAUAGAUGCCAGUUGGAACAAGUCCGAAACAUAGUGGAAUACUAUUGGUCUGUACUGCAGUCCUUGUUUUGAGAUGAUCCUGGGUCUGUCAAAAUGUUAGAAUGUGUCUUGGCCUGCUGGAUGUAGCAUAUGGUCAACACUUGUGAAAAUAUUAUGCUGCUAAAUUAUGUAGAUUCGGAUAAUUCACUUUACUCUGUCAUGUGUAGCAAUUCUACUGUGCCAAUAGCUUAGAACUGUUUAAUACUUGAAUUUUUGAGUUUUAGAAGCUACCGUUGAUUCUGACAAUAAAACUAUAGUGACUGCUUAUGAGUCCAGUGGUAAUUUAUGCAUUAAAAUACUAACUAGCAAGUACCAACAGGCCUUGGCAUCCAUACUAAUGUUAUGUUGCCUUGUACCUUCGUGAGGCUUUCUUUGACCAAGUCCAUGCUAUCAAUAUAAAAUGAUCUGUUGAACAUUAGGGAGUAAAUAUCUUCAAAGACAAGCCUAUUAGUGUAAAUGAUAUUUAUCUGGUUCUUCCAUUCUAGGGUCGUUUGUUUGUAAACCAUGUGGUGCAUCGGACAUAUUAACUUCUCUAAAGGUAGAGAUAUGCGAAUGUUGUAUUUAGGGAAUCAUGUGUCAUUCUUUGGUGCACUGUUAGUUUUAUCUUGAUCAAGGAACCUUCAAACCCCCAAAGUUUCUAUGUUCAAAAAACAUCUGUUGUAAGCUGGUAACUGGGAGGAACUCAGUUUUAUUGAAGAAAAUCUAUUGUAUUUGUCGGAUUUGGCAUCUUUCGGAAUGACAAUAUUUAGUUGGUGUCAUGCUUGGGAAUUCUAACUCCAUUGUGCAUGUUGCACUGCCACCCACUGUAGAGAUUAAUAUAUAUCUUGCAUUGCUCUUUCGAUUUUCAGGUAGAAGAGGAGAGGACAGAGUCCCUUUAGAUUGGGAUACCCGACUGAAAAUAGCUAUUGGAGCAGCAAAAGGAAUUGCUCAUAUACAUACAGAGAAUGGUGGGAAGCUUGUCCACGGAAACGUCAAAGCCUCAAACAUCUUUGUAAACUCGCAACAGUAUGGUUGUGUUUCUGAUGUUGGCUUGGCAACUAUAAUGAGCUCACUAGCUCCCCCAAUCUCCCGUGCUGCUGGUUACCGAGCCCCAGAAGUGACAGACACCAGGAAAGCAGGACAAGCAGCUGAUGUCUACAGUUUUGGGGUUGUGUUACUGGAACUCCUCACUGGAAAAUCCCCUAUCCAUACUACUGCUGGUGAUGAGAUUGUCCACUUGGUCAGAUGGGUGCAUUCAGUUGUCCGAGAGGAGUGGACAGCAGAAGUGUUUGACAUAGAGCUCAUGAGGUAUCUAAAUAUAGAGGAAGAAAUGGUAGAGAUGUUACAGAUUGCCAUGUCUUGUGUGGUAAGGAUGCCUGAUCAAAGACCUAAAAUGCUGGAUGUAGUGAAGAUGAUAGAAAGUGUCCGCCGGAAUGAUAAUGAGAAUCGACCAUCGUCUGGAAACAGAUCUGAAAGCUCAACCCCACCACCAGUGGUUGGAACAGAACAUCCAACAUCACAAUGAAUGAACCAUUUGCUAUUUUUCCCAUCUAGUGAUGUAUUUCAUUUCAUCUCAAAAUGUCGUUUUGCUCCAGUGAAUGAACAAAUUUUUUUCAAUUUUUUUUUCUUCUACUUUAUCCCAUUUAGGAAGAGCUAGGUCAUGUAUCAAUGUAGUAGUGACUAUAAUUCUGGAAAUGGCAUUUCAAAUAUGCUUUUUGGUACUUGGAACUCUCUCUCUCUCUCUCUCUCUCUCUCUCUCUCUCUCUCUCUCUCUCUUAGACACACACACACGCAUAUUAAAAGGAGAAUGCAAAAAACAUAUUUUGCUUGAAUAGAUGCAUAGGCAUAAUCGUGCCAAAGAUGCUAUACAUAUCUUUGUGUCAUAUAAAAACUGACUGCAAGAAUAACUUCCUGCUGGCCUCUGCAUGGGUCCUACUAUGUUUUCCUGAAGGAUGCAAUGCAACUGUUUGUACAACUGUUUUUCACAAAAUCUGUCUUUCAAAUUGAUUAUUAACAUUCUUCCACUCCAGUUAAUAUAUAGAAGGGUGUUUUUGUAAAAACUCUUUUUUGUUUUGUUUUUUUAUCUCAAUCAUCACUUAUUUUAUCCAAAGCAACUCACAGCGGAGGGCAUCAUGAUCUACAAGCAUAGAUUGGACAUUUAUUUGGAAAUAUUCUGCUAUUGCACGUGAAGUCUUCAGAGCUGUUUGAUGCUGGCAAAAGCUCAUCAGAAUGUGAAAGAUACUGGAGGGAAAAAUCAAACACACCAACAAAAUCUAAAAGUUGUGUUUGCUUUUGCUCAACAUUUCAAAGCAGUGUCCAUAAUCUACAUGUAAAAAGAUACGUUUCGAAUUAGGGUUUUGCUCAAGUUUAGUCCAAAAGAAAGAAAGAAAAAAAACUGCUUCGUUUCCUGGUUUCCAUUUACAAAAAUACCUUUUUGGGAAAAUUUAUACGAGGGUAUGUUUGGAUAGAAACAAUGAAUUUUGAUAUUGAUAAUAUGGUUACAUUGGUUAGAAAAAUGUUGAGAGAGAUGCUGGAUACAAUGUGAUUGAAAAUACUGGGUACAAUGUUGUACUAUUAUGACCUUGAAAAUGAUUAGGUACAAUGGAUGGAUUUCAUUCUAUUCUUUUUCGUGCUAAGAUUAUAAUGAAGAAAAUCUAACUAUAAAGAUAAAUUUUCAUAGAUUUGAAACCUAACAUUCCAAAUGGAGUCUUGCAAGAAUAUUGGGGAUAAACAAAAAUAUAUAUAGGUAUAGGUGGUUUUGAUGUGGUCAAAUUUUGGGUUGUAAUCGAGAUUUGUCAUGUCAUUGUCAUGACUAACUUACCUAAGAUAUAUCUGCAAUACGACCUAUUUCUUAAUUAAUUUCUAAGAUGCAUCUUAUCCUUUGACUAGAAUUUAAGACUAGAGUUUACUUAUUUUUAAGACUAAAUCAAUUGCCUAGCCGUCCUUAUUGAAAAAAUAACUUGAUUUUCUAACGAUGUCCACAUAUUGGCCUUAACGCGUAGAAAAAUUUAGGUGAUCAUUUUAACCAUAUUACAAUGUGAGUGCUACACAUUAAAUUAUUAAUCUUUAUUAACAAAAUCAUCUUACAUUUUAACUAUGAUUACCUAAAACUAAAUACAAUAACACAUGUUUUUAACAAAUGAUAAGAUUUUUUAUUUUUUAUUUUCUAUUGUCACAAGGGACAAGAUUCGAACACAGAAAUCACUCCUUUUUCUUUUUUUCUCCAUUGUACCAUGGUCUAUAGAAUGGCACACUUUGAUUGGACGGAUGUGUGGAGCAAAAUUACAGUCUUGUCCCCUCCUCUUUCCCUAGGUAUAAUAUAUAAACUCAUUUUGAGUGGUUGUUCAAGAGCUACCACCUUCUCAAUAAACGCAAAAGAUUAAAAAGAUAAAAAAAACAUAAAAUCUAAAUCAAUAAUAAAGCAGGAGGUUCUCUCAGGUCAAGGUACUCUCUCUACCAUCUCUCUGCUACUUGCACACAAGAAAUGAAAUUUGGGUUUUCUUUGUUGUGUGUGUGAAUUUAUUAGAUUGAGGUCAGGUUCAUCUAGGGUUUGGUUUGGUUUGUUUGUUGGCUUGUGAAGGUGAUGGCGUCGAAACGGAUCCUGAAGGAGCUGAAGGACCUCCAGAAAGAUCCUCCUACUUCAUGCAGCGCUGGUACUUUCCAUUUCCAAACCCGAUCCGUUGCCUCUUCUUUUUCAUUUUAAUUCUGCUCAAGUUUUAAUUUUGUGUUUUUGGGUAAGAAUUAUGUAGAAGUUUGUUGAUUGCAUCCUCUUUUGAGAUUUUGGCUCAUGUGUACCAUCUGAUUUGAGCUUCCAUCUAUGCUUAUUUUUAGAAAUUUGCUAUUUUUUAUUAACCCAGACCAGGAAAUCUGUGCAAAGCUGCAGUCUUGCACCGAUUUGGUGGUCAAAUCAAUUUUGUAUUAUUGUUCUCAUGCUAAAUUAUGUGUUUGUCUCAUAAUCAAAUGGAAUUGCAUUAUUUUUAAGUUGGUCAACUGAAUUUCAUCGUUAAGAAUCAUCAGAGAAUAUGAAAGAAAAUAGUGAAUGAUAUGGGAUACUGAAGGUGCUAUUGUGUGGCAGUUGUUACCCAUACCGAUUUCCUUGCCCUAAUUAAAUGGCAAUAGACCUCCUACCUAGCAUCUUGGGUAUAAAUGGGUAAUUACCCUUUUAACUCCUUGUUAAAUGGUCUGGGUUGUGGGGACCUGUAAUGACCCACUGAAUCCUCAGAAAGAAAAGCUUUUAAUUUUAAGCCUGGUUAUCUGUAUAUCCGCAGUGGUUGGGACUGAUUUUUGUCAUUCUGAGUCUUGUAUGAUUUUGAGGGCUGAGUAGACAUUAAAGGUGUUAAAGAGGGAGGUUCGGGCAGUCAAAGAAGUUGGCUGGUAAUUUGAAGUUGGAACAAUGUUAUCCUUUGGUACAGCUGUUGUAUUGUUUUAAAUGUUGUGGUGGGAAGACUCAUUCUUGUCUGCCAGGGUGGGUGGUUGAGUAUUGUUUCGGGGUUUCUUUCUUGACGCUUACGUCAAUAGAUUCUCUGAAAUAGCAUUCCUUUGCAAGUGAAGGAUCAAAUGCUUUCUCUUUCUUCUUUUAAUAUAUUUCCCCUUUGGAACACUGUCUACACCAUUGAGUGAAUUAUAGUAUCUUGAGCUGGAUAUUUCCAUAAUGGACCUACACCCACCCACCCUUAAAAUUGGAUUAGAUGGCCAUAGGCAAUAGAUAUAAGUGGCAAAUAAAUGGUAGUUCUUAGUCUAUCUAGUUUACGACGCACCCUAAACUGACUCAUUUGCCACCUUUGGUGCCAUAAAUGCUAUAUUAUUUUGCUGUUAAUUUGAAGAUUACCAUUACUUUGUCUUAUAUAUGGAUAUCUUAUAAAUGAUACACUUGUUUUUGAGUUUUGAAUAACUCAACUGUGGUUGGAAUCUUUUUGUCAUCAUCAUCACGCCACCCUGGAUUUUAAUACCCUUAAUGGCUGCAAAAGUUCAUUCUUUUGGGAGAAUAUGAAGUCACUCAUUUAUAGCCACAGCAGUCUAUCUACUGUGUGGAAUAAAUCUAUGUGCAAGUGAAACCCUUCAAAUCUUUUAGGCAAUUGGAACUCUUUUGUAUCAAAUUUUCUCAAUGAAUUGGUAACUUUUGGCUGCUUUUUCUUUUCAGGAGAAAUUUACACAAUGAAACUAUUCUGAUAAAUGACUACGUCAUUCUUCUCAGCAGAUAUUCAAUUUGAUUGUCUUUACUCUAAUGUAUAUCUUUAGGGCCAGUUGCAGAAGACAUGUUCCACUGGCAAGCGACAAUAAUGGGUCCUGCUGACAGUCCAUAUGCAGGUGGAGUGUUCCUUGUCACUAUACAUUUUCCUCCAGACUAUCCUUUUAAACCACCCAAGGUACUUGCUAGCUUUCUAUAAAUUUCACAUCAAAUUGGUCUUCUGUUGCAUGGAAGUUCCUUUUUUUAUUGCUUUCAUGUGAGAGAGAGAGAGAGAGAGAGAGAGAGAGAGAGAGAGAGAGAGAGAGAGAAUCUGGCGCAUAUUGUCUUGUGGCCUAUCACACCUAUGUUUGAUGUCAAAUGUAUUUUCAGACUCCCAAGGGAGUUGAUAACAUUGUGAUAGUAGAAAUUGACAAUUAUAACUUAUUUAGCAAUGAAGUAAGAUGGUGUUCCUGAAGUUUAAAAAAUCCCAAAUUUUAACAAAUGACUAGGAAAUACUGAACUUUUGCGCAUUGUUUGUUUUCAAGAUCAUUUCCAUGUAAAAUUGGCACGACAAACUGAAGAUUUUGUUGUCCAACUUUUCAUUCGUUCAUUACUUUUUGCUACUUAUAUGAUCUUUUGUGCAGGUUGCAUUCAGGACAAAGGUGUUUCACCCUAAUAUCAACAGCAAUGGUAGCAUUUGCCUUGACAUUUUGAAAGAACAGUGGAGCCCUGCCCUGACCAUAUCCAAGGUAAAUGCUUAAUUCCUAAACAGGAAUAGUUUUUUCAUAAAUUUUGAGCGUUCUGUAGAAACUUGUUUCCCCUAUUGGGAUUCUACAUAUGAUUCCAUUUUAUGUCUAUAAUUUCGGAUGCGUCAAUACAGGAAAUGCUAAUCAAUAGGGCUGAAACUCAGGUUUUUACAUACAGAAAUUGCAAUUGUAUUACCCUGAAGUUUUACAAGUUAAGAUUUGCACAAAAGAUAAAGAGCUCUAUGCAAUGAAACAGCAUACAAUCCUUUAUUGACCAAAAUGAUUUGCUUUUCUUUAUAAAAAGAAAAAUAACAAAUUAUCAUCUGUGCUAAUUCUUGUGUCCAAGAAAUUUUCCAUAGUGAAGUACUGAUUGAUCUUGUGGAUCCCAUUGCAUUUUGCAACUGUUAUGAUGUUGUAUACUGAAAAUGAAACAUGGUUGAAUCAAUUGUGCCAUAUUCAUUGAACCUGGUAUGAUUGGGAAAUUUUGGUGCUGUUAUAGUUGAUGCAAUGUUAUGUUAUUUGUGUUACUGAAGCAUGGGAACUGGUUUCACUUUAUUUUCAGGUAUUGCUUUCAAUCUGUUCACUGUUGACAGACCCCAACCCUGAUGACCCUUUGGUUCCGGAGAUUGCCCAUAUGUACAAGACUGACAAGAACAAGUACGAGACCACCGCAAGGAGCUGGACUCAGAAGUAUGCUAUGGGUUAGUGUGAGCUGCUAGGACACUGAGAGGAGGGCUUUCUGUCCCUGUGGCAUUGAUCUGGUGAUCAGAUGUAUGAAUGGCGUGAUCUGUUCUUCACAUAAGUGGACCAAUAGGGAGAGUAUUCUGCCCUCGGAACGCAAUUGCUUUGAAUUGUUAAUUUGUUAUGCAAUAUUUAUAUAUAAGACAUUGAAACCAUCUUAUCUCUCUCGUGUCUGAAACCCCCUAACAACCCAAAAGAAAAUGAAAUUUGACCCCACAAAGUCGAGAUAGAUAUGCCAUUGAAAACAUGUUAAGAGUAUGAACCCACAUAAUAAUUGCAUCACUUUAUGCACAUAUUAAAUUAUCCCAUGAUAUCUUGGGGAUUUUAGAGAAUUGAUUGAGUGACUGGCCAGGUGUUUGUAGUUCGUGUUGAGCCGAUUAUCUGUGUAAAAGGUUUGGCCAGGUUAGGUUGUAUAUCAUGUGUAUUAAAUUUGGUUGAAUCUGGCAGUAGUGCAAAAGAAUUUUUCAUCAGAACCAAUAAAUUUUUAAUUGAACUAAAAAGAAGACAUAGAAUAAAAUUGGGAAGAAAAAGUAGCCCAGUUGUGUGCAGGCAUAUGGGCCAUCACCAUUAACAUCAAGCUGUCACAUUUGUGUCUUGACACAUGGAUGGAAAGGAGUUCAUUUCCCAUCGGGGUAAAUGGGUUGGGCCCAAGAAAUCUAUUUUGAACUGAGAAGGUGAGUUUUACUUGUGAAUUGAUAAAGAAUUAGAACUAGUGGUAUCCUGCAAGAGGCUUGUAGUUAAAGUGGUUAUGAAUAUGUACCUAUAUAACAUGAGGUCGUAAGUUCGAUAUUUGAUUUUCCCUUGUAAUUAUUUUAGGAUUAACUUGGAGGUUUCUACAGACCAAAUCAUAUAAGGAGAACAUUUACAAGUCACAACCCUCUUUGGAUUUGUUCGGUACUAAAAUGAAGUUUCAAGAAAUUGGCAGAACACUUGCACGUUUAUCUCAUAACAGUUGAUGGUGUGUGGUGGGUGAUGGGUCUUGAUAUAUGAUUCAUAUAUAUAUAUGCUGGAAGAAGGAAAAAGCUGUUCAGAAGAGGGUGGCCCACUGGGGUUACUGGGCUUCCAUUUCUGUGUGGCCUUUCAACUUCAAGCACUCUGAGUUUUGAGGUUGCCUUUAAGUUUCCUGGAUCCUGCAAAAAUCUAAGAAAAAGAAGUGAGGAGGAGGAGGAGGCCUAAGCCUAACAAUGACAGGAGCAAAAAUCCAAGUGACAGUACAAGUAGAAUGGUAAAAUCUUCUUUAUGAAGCAAAAAAACACCCAAAAAAGAGUCAAAAUCUUGUUAAUUAAUGAUCCAAAAUCUAACCUUAGCUCCCCCACACCCUUUUUUUUUCUCCCUGUGGUCAGCAUCAGAACAAGUGGAUGAAUAAAACAUCAGUCAAAUUGUAAAAUUUUUGUCAGUACAUUAUCAACAUGUUGCAUAUCAAUAUUUGGAUAUCAAAUCCCACACAAACAGAAGAUGACAAUUCUGUCAUUUGGGAACAAAUGUAGGGCCACAAUCCUAGGGCAUACUCCUACGAACAGGACCUAACCCUUACCCUUGUUUUUUAACCCUAGUCUUUUCUCAUUUUCAACGUGGUAAAUAUAAAUUACCAAUAUAAAACUGAAAUCAUGGUCUUUAGGGCAUGCCCUACAAGUUGGUUCUAUAGGGUUAGAGCCUAGGGCCAAGGGCCCUAGAGAGAGAGAGAGAGAGAGAGAGAGAGAGAGAGAGAGAGAGAGAGAGAUACUUGUUCCCCUCACGUCUCGCUUUCUUUACUCAGUGUUGUUGUCGUUGUUUGCUGUGUGUGUAGCCUUGGCCUUUAGGUAGGCUUUUUUCACCUCUUGUGUCGUUGAAAAGCCAUUUUAUGCUCCCACAUGAGCCUUUAUUUUAAAUCAAAAGAUAUAAUUUUUGCUUUAUUGUUAUUAGGUUCGAAUUAAUUGAUUCAAAGUCAAAACAUUAGAGACAGCUUUGAAGAACAUCAGCCCAUCUAUCUAGGGGAACCUCUUUGGGUGGUGCCAGUUCUCACCAGAAUAAAGAACUUCUUCAUGCGAAUGUGAGCUAGGGGUAGACAGUACCCUUUCUUGUACUCAAGAUCGAAUUUCUCUCUUUAUAAAUUAUAUUUAUUUAGAAUAAUUUUUACUAUCCUUUGUAUGAAAGAAAAAGAAAUUAAAAAAAACUUAUUCCUAUGACACAAAACAUACAUGUUGUGUUCUUAAAAUUGUCAUGCAUGUUCAUAUUUACAUCAUAUGUUUAAAUAAGAAUUAACUUCAUCAGUUUUUGAAUUGAUAAUCUGACAAUAUUAUCUACGUAAACCAUACGAACUCAAGAAUCCACCGGCCGGAAACUAUGGAGUCAAUAACCAUGGCCUGUUAACCCUUGUAAUUUAAUAAGGUUUUGUUCCCCAUGAAAACAUAAAACAAAAGGCAAAAUGAAGCUUAGUUAGUUGUAUCUUAGUGGCACAGAGAUAUCAUGUUUUUCUAUGUCUAAAACACCAUUGUAUUUGGAGUAGUUAAUUCGAAUUGCACGUGGAAAGCUUAAUGCAGAAAAAGAAAAAAGAAAAAAAUCCAAAUUAAUGAAUUAUCCCCCGGCAAAUGGGUCGUGCUUAGGAGUUGGAAAGGACCCUGGCCCCAGAAAAUCAGGCCCCUAAUUCCUACUUUAAUCACAAUUAGUUUUCUACUUUUAAAAUUAAAAUAAAAUUAUUAGUGUACUUUGGAGGGCUUAUUAUUGUCUCUACUGAGGACAAGAGUGACUAUUACAAGCUGCUGACCCCCACUCAAAUAUAUGUGAUGUGGCCAUUGUCGAGCUUGGUCUCCAUUUCUUUAGAAACUCUUAGCAGUUUCUGAAGUGGGCUUCAACCAAAGUUUGGUUAAAAUAAUGUUGAGAUGUUAAUGGCUCUUUUAAUCAUUUGUUGAUUGGAGUCUAAUCAUUUAAUCAUGUCGUAAUGUUGAUUGUUCAUUUGAUCGUUAAUCGCUUUCGAAUCCCAAAUUAAUCAUGUAUGCUUUGAGACAACACCAAAAGCCAAUUAGUAUGAUAUCCCUUAAUUUUUUCCGUCACAUUGCAAUUACAUUAUUAUUCUUUAUCGAGCUUUGUUUUCAUAUUCGUUUAAGAGAAUAAAUUUUAAUAGAUACUUUUUUGUUAGACGUGACAGAAAUUUAUAACGUGUUAUAAGUUUUUGUUCACAAAACAGUAGAUGCAAUGCAUUAAAGAGGCUUCAUUAUUGUGUUUGAAAUCAUGGACCAAACAUGUCGUCUAUUAUAUAAACAUGCCCAAUCAUCAAAAUAGCAAAUAAUCAUUGUUGCCUUAUCGCUUGAAUUAAUACUCUUUUUAUGCAUAAUGUGACGGUCGGAUUAAUAAAGAAAAUGGGUGGUCCAAAAGUGAAGUUUGGUGAGUCUUUGAACCUAAACCCAUAGAAAGAAACACAUUAAACAAGGGUUUAACAUUCCAAGCGUGAUUUUGUUCCCAAAUGUUGGCUGUCUUCUCAACCCUUAAACCCUCAAUUUCAGGGUUUCCAAAUUCGAAUUACUUUUUUUUUCACAAAAGAACAAUUUCAUAGUUCCUGCUUUGGAAAUUGGAAAUUAUAAAAAUUAUAAAAACAAAAAACAAAAAAACAAAAAAACAAUCAGGGAAGCCACGUCACGAUCACAUGGCAAAAGUUGAAGUUCUCAUAUCGGUUUGAAACGGUGAGCUAUCAGCAGAGGCCAUUAAAUACUUGCCGGUAAUUCACAUGGCAAAAGUCUUAUUUUAUUUUCUAAAAAGAAACUAAAUCUUACUUUUUGGUUAAAUUAAAUACAAAUAUGAAAAAUACCCAAGUGAAACUCCAAUUUCUUCAUGAGAUUAUUAAACUCUUUGGUGAGUUGGUUGUGAAUUAGGUGUUUGUUUGUAGUCUAAUUUUUGCUUGUGAGAGUUUAAAAGUUGUAGUUGUACUAAUUGUUUUAGGCACUGCAGUUCAUGUCUGGCUUGUUCAUACUUGCUGCUUUUAUACCGAAAUUUCUUUGGUCUCAUGAGGGUAUUAGUGGAGAUACACAUUGUGCGCUUGAUGUUGCCAUUGUCUUUUUAUGUAUCUAGAUUAACCAUGCGUGGUUAUUAUGCUUCUAUCUUUAUAUUCCUUUAUGGGUAUUUAUAUUGGCCCUUGUGGUUUAUGGUCUUUGUGCUUAACUUAUGAAUACAAUUAUCGUUUUUCUCUUUUCUUUUUUCUUUUUUUAAAAAAACUCUCAUAAAAAAACACAUAAUCCACAAUAUAUGAAUUUAAAGCUAAUUAAUUUUGUAUAUAUGGAAGUAGAAGAAAAUGAUCGGAUGUAGAUGACAAUAAAAAAAGCUUAGGAGAGUACAAUUCAUCCAAUGUUUCAUGAAGUUAAUAUGGUAGCUGGCAAAAAAGGAACAAACCUUUGUACCCUAUUAAUUUGUAAUUACGAAAACAAAAUUUUCUCUUUGGGACUUGGGAGACUUGGGAGACUUGGGAGACUGGGAGACUUGGGAGUUGGGAGGAGGAGGAGGAGGAGGAGGAGGAGAGAGUUGGAUCUUUCUCUCAUGUUUCAUACACACCAUGAUUGUCGAAUAAUCAUAACUCAAACUCAAGACAAGUUCAUCUAGGUUUUAGUGAUAAUUAAUUGACUUGUAUAAGAACAUAGGGAUACGGUUAAUUCGCAAUAGACCAAAUAAACCAAUAAUUAAUCCCACUUAAACCCAUAAAACAACAAUUAAUUAUUACUUGGAGUUCUCUCUAUUUUUGUGGCUCAAAAGAAUGCACAUCUAGGAGACGAUGCUAAUUGACCUCUUUCUAACAUAAGGUUGGAAACCCGCACAAAUUGCAAAUAAGAAAAUGUUUGAAAGUUAGUGGUUUGAGAAAGCCAAACAUUUAAUUAAACAUUAAUAUUAUCAUUUGUUAUAUAUGUAGCUCACAGACUCAGACACAUGAUGUAUUUGUCGAAUCCCAUGUAGUCUUUGCUAAUUGUUUGUUAUCUAUGGUUUCAUACGGCUACUAAUUAAGCAUGGCAGAUUUCAAGAAAGCCACUACGUUGAGUUUUGUUUUUUGUUAUUAUUAUUUUUUAGAAUCCAAAUGCUAAAUAAAAUGCCCAUUUUCUUCUUAUGCAUCACUGGAUCUCAAACACACAAGUUCCAAAAUAUAUAUAGAAGGCACAAAUAAAGCUGGUAUGAGUUAGUUGUAGUUGUAUUUGUAAUUUUGGACACUGUAUUUCAUGUUUGAUUUGCUCAGGCAUGUGACUCUUACGUUAAAAUGUAUUUGGUCUUUCUAGGCUAUUAGUAAAGAUACAAGUCGUGUGAUGUAGCUGGUGCAUCCUCCUAUAUAUGGAUUAACCCUUUGCAAUUCAUGUGCAUCUUUGUAUUAACUCUUUAUGAGUAUUUGGUUUUUGCACCCAAUUAUUGAAUACAAUUAUCGCUAAUUUAUAUAUAUAUAUAUAUAUAUAUAAAGGCUGAUAUGAGUUUUGAUUUUUAUUUUGCAUGUUCCUAAGUUCAAGAUAUUUUAGGAAAGGUUUCACUUUCUCUUUACUCUCAUAAACACAAAUAUAGAUCUUUUUUGUUUUUUUUUUCCCAUGAAUUUGUUUUGGUUAUAUGUAUUAUAAUUUUUACAAAAAAAAAAUGUGUCUAUAUUGUUGAGACAAAGUUUGUGAUUGUUUUGCUUGGGUAGCUAAAUUCCCAAUGUUGUUGGCAUUCUUUAUUUUAUGUGCAUUCCAAUUUUGCCCGUAUUCAAUUAUAAAUAGUCAUUAGCACCCACUAAUUUUGUUUUUUGUUAAUGAUUGUAACAAUUAACGUUGCUAUCCAUCAUAAUUGGAAGAGAGUACUACAUCAAUACAAUUGUAAGCACUAGCAGCUGAGAAAUAAUCCAAAUUUGGUUAUGCAUCAAAGCGGCAAAUCAUUGCAAAUUGUCGAACUCACAUUCCAUUCUCAUGUUAAAAUAAACGUAUUGACAAUAGCCUAGCAUGGUUGUGAAGGCCCCAACUACCAAAUUAUUGGUGACAUCUAACAAAGAAAUCAAGACGAAAUUAAGAUUUAACGUGUUAAAUUCACGUACAUAAUUAUUGUCAUAUUAUAAAUCGUAAGUAAUAAUUAUAUAAUAUGAUCAAUGAACCAUAUCAUAUUUUAAAUGAAUAAUACUAACACUAUAUGUUAAAUCAUCAACAUAAAAGCUUUUGUACAAUUUAUCAAGUCGUAAGGAUAUCUAAUAAAUCUCCCUAUCUUAACUUUAUAGCCAAUUUGAGAAGGUUGUUGACAAACAUUGUUUAUCAACUAGCUGCUCAAAGAUUUCCUCAUUUUGGAUUUGGAGAAUGCUAUUUUUGACUCUCCAAAAUAAAAAGUGAGAAAAAAGAGCGUAACUACGUAGAGUUCUUAGAAUUUAUACGAGAUUGGCUGAAAUAGAAAAAAUUGUUCGGAUACUUGAAAAAUGAUUAUCCAAGAUAGUUUUCUAAUUAAUUCUGCUAAAACUACAGUUAAAAUCUAGAUGGAAGAACACAAACAACACAAAAAGAAAAAAACAAAUGCUAAAGAGUUGAAAACAAAAACAAAAACUCAAUUAGAAGAAAGACAGCAAUAUUUGCGUUCUGAUACCGAGUAUCAAUCAGCAUGGGAACCCUCACUGUAGUGUGACCAAAAUAAUUAAAAAGAAAUUAAAAUAAUAUCAAGUGCUUUUAAAUCAAGUGGACAAUUUUACGAAAGAAACAAGCAGGACGGCUUUGGUUGUCUGACACGUUGUUCGAGGACUGGUUAGGCAACGCCCCCCACAGUCAGCAUUGCAGUGAACCAACUUUAAAAGAUGGGCUGCCUGGCCCAUGCUCUCCUUCUUCUUUUCAGCCCAGUUGUGUGGUAGGUUAAAUUACUGUUCUACCCUUGUAUCCCCGAGUAAUGUUUCAUGUAUCAUAUUUACCGUACUUAUUUUUCAAAUAAGUAUUUUAGUUGGUCCACCUCUUUGAAAUUAUUUUUUAAAUAUUUUGUACUAGGUAAACUGCACCGAACUUUGAUACAAAAAUGUAGAACGAGCGCAUUCAAGUAAAUAAUGGAUGAGGAAACCAUAUGUGAUUAUUUUGGAAGGGGGAAGGGGAUUAUCAAUCAUUUUCUUCGUUAAGUGGGAGAGGUGAGAUGCAUGUAGAAUAUGAGGAAACAAAUUGUCACGAGUCUGACAGGUUUCAUAAAUAUGUAUGGUGUUAAUAAUGGCCUAACUUCUGAUAGAAAAUGACACUAUUCGUUUAUUGUAAUCACCUAAUAUUGUCAUGUUAUAAUAAAUAAAACUUAAAACAUGAACACUACUAACUAGAAAAUUAGGUUACGAAUGUCAAUGUCCACGAAAUUUUUUACUUGGUCAUUCUUGUAUUAUUAACCCACUGUCUGAGUGACAUCGGUAAUUAUUUAAAACAGACAACUAAGUAAGAAAUUAGAAUGUUCCCGUACUCUUUAAUUUGCUCACAUUGCAGGGCCGGUCCUGCGAAAACUUAAAUUAGAGCCCUCACAUAGUCUAAUAUGAAAAUACUAAAAAAAUAAAUUGUCAUAACUUAAUAUAAUAAAAUAAAUUUUUUUAUAACUAAAAUUCAUUAAUUAGUAUAUAAUAACAAUCAUAAAUCAGAUUCAUAAAUUUUUUAAAUAUUUUUAUUUGAUAAAGUUUAAUAUUAGUAUAUUCGGUAAAAAAAAAAAGAAAAAAAGGGUUCAAGAGAAAGAAGAAUGACGGGAAUUUCUUUUUUUGUUUUGUUUUGAGUGGAAGAAAGUACUUUUUUCUUUUUGUUUUUAGGGGAAAACUUAUGGGUAUGAUAUAUAAUGUUGUUAGUGUAGUUGGAUCUUCCCCUUAUUUUUUUUAAGUCGAACUUGGACCUUAUACCAAGGGAUGUAAACCAACUCAAUCAAAUACAAUUUUGUGUGAAAUUGUUGCACGCUGGAGUAUAUAUAGAGUUUUUAAAAAUAAUAUUAACUUAUAAUAUAAAGUAAAAAAAUUUCGAAUCCUCAAAAAUUAAAAACCAUAUACGAUGACACCACUUGCAUCAUGCCAGGGCUGCCCUGACAUUGAAUACCACCUCCUCCUCCUAUUGCCCUAAUAAAACCAUGCAUAUCCGUUUCAAAGCAUAUAACUAGUGGAGCAAAAGCACCAUCUUUAUGAUCCAACGUCCGACAUGUUACAUGCGUCAUCCUACUAAAUUCCUCAAUGUGAAUUAAAUGACCCAAACAUUUACUCCCAAUAAUUAAAUAUAAAAAAACAAAACGCUUUUGUUUCCCUGAAAUGAAAUUCUCAUCUACUUGGGCACCAAGCAACAAUGAUAUGUCGUCUGUACAACAGUCACCGGCUCCCUCCAAUCACAUCACGAAACGUGUCAACAUAACGAUUCAAAACCAAAACCGUCUUUCUGAAAUUCUGGUGGUGAGGUAGACAGAGAUAAAAAGGCUGGAGGGCAUGGCAUUGGCAUGCAUGGUUGAGGAGAUAAAAACACACUUAUAAAAAAUGGGCCUCACAGUCGAGGUUGCCUGCCACGUUACACUUAGCUGUAAAAAUAUACAAAAAGAUAAGGUUAAAAUUCAAAUGGUAAAAUUUAAAAUUGAAAAAACGCCAGUUUUGUGAUUUUUACUCCCAUAAUGACGAAAACAUCCCGGAGUGCUGAUUUCCGUAACGGAAGGUUAAGUAGUAAUUAUCGUCUACUCAGUGGGUAAUUAAUGUUAUUAAUUAAUCUUUUCUUCAGUCAAAGUAGAACCCCAUGUGUCUUCUCACGUGACCAGAAUCCCAAAUUCCAAGAUUAAAUUUUAAUUUUUUUCCUGCUGCUGAGUCAGCUCCGGGCCCCACACCUGAGCUUUCCCUUUCCUCCCCUCCCAUUGGAUCUCCAUUUCUUACCGGGCCCAACCCGCCACGUGUCACUCGCCCCCCUGCCCGAAUUAUGCGGCGCCUCGUAAAAUAUCUCGGAGCCUCGCCGGGCUCUCUCCCGGUGGGUCCUGGCUCCACCCCAUUCGUGUUUUAAAAUUUAAAAAAAAAAAAAAAUCUUUAAAGCAAAAUUCAACCAAAACAUAAAUUGUAAAUUGUAAAUUUUAUUUUUGGGAAAAAGAAAAAGAUUUUGGAAAUUUAAAGAUGGCUCUUAAACCGGGUUUGCCGAUUACGGCUGUUGGGAUCCUAUAAAGUAGGUAGUUUUGGUAUCCAGCGGAACUGUGCUUCUUUCUCUCUGCGCCUAUUAUCUCUCUCUACCUCCUCACUCUCACUCCACACUCUCUCUCUCUAGCUCCCUCAUUUCUCACUAAACCCACCACCACUCUCAGAGACUCUCAGUUUUUGCUUCUUGCUUUUAAAGGCCCGAUUCCGAUUCCCUUUCCCUUUCCGGUUAAAGCUUUGCUCCACUCACCCCCCCAUCCCUCCUUUUGGCUUUCAAAGCUUCGCUUUUUUUCCCCUUCAAAAAUUUGCCAUUCUUUUUUCCGUACCAUUUGCCAAGGUCCAGAGCUCCACGCUCGCUCUCUCCACUUUUUUCUUCUUUCGGGCGAAACUUUCCGUGAAAUUUCUCGUCCUUUGAUGACACUUUUUUAGGUGAUUUCUCUCCGUUUCAAGCACAAGCAGCUUCUCUGUCACGCUUCUUCCUUCUCUCUGUGUCUUUCUCUCUUUCUCUCUUUUUCUCUCUCUUUAUUCUCUUCACCUCGUGUGCUCUGCGAGAAUCUCCCUUUUUUUUCCUUUCUUCUUCUUCAGCAGCCUCUAUUUUUAGCUCCCGUCACUCAUCUCGCUUUCAAUGCGAAUCAGCUGCUGGAAGACUCUCACAUUCUAAUUUGCUUUGUUACUUGAAACUAUGAAUCCGGCUGUUAAGUACACGCAGCACCGCAGCCACACGAAGAUGGUGGCGAAUUCGGCAGCUGAGUUUGAGUCGGUGAGGCCCAGAGUUGUACGGAUAUGGGUCACCGACGGAGAUGCCACCGACUCAUCCAGCGACGACGAACCCCCCGAGUCGUCGUUCUGCGGGCGCCGCCGAGUCAAGAGGUUCAUCAACGAGAUUACUAUCGAGUCCUGCUCCAGAGAGACUGACGCUGUUUGGAGGAGCCGGACGACGAGGACCGGACGGAAGAGAGCCUCCCCGAAGUCCGGAGGGCCGGCGAGUGGUCGUACGUUAAAGGCGGUAGCUGCUGCUCCCGCCGGGAAGAAGUUCCGAGGCGUGAGGCAGAGGCCCUGGGGAAAAUGGGCUGCGGAGAUUAGAGAUCCUCUGCGACGUGUACGGCUCUGGUUGGGCACUUACGACACGGCGGAGGAAGCCGCCAUGGUGUACGACAACGCCGCUAUUCAGCUUCGUGGGCCUGACGCGCUCACCAACUUCGCUGCUCCUCCGGCGAAGUCCUUGCCAGACGUGAAGCCGGUUAUUAGCUCCUGCUACAAUUCCGGCGACGAGUCUCACAACAAUCUUUGCUCCCCGACCUCCGUGUUGCGGUGUCCAUCACCUUCGAACGAAGAAGCCGACUCGCCGAGUUUCAAAGAGGAGGUUCCGGACAUCGCCGAAUUCCGAAAUGUCCGGGACGACUCUUGUGUAUCGGAGAACUUCUCCGAGUUUUCGGAAUACACGAGUUUCGAAUCGUUUAUUCCGGACGACAUUUUUGAUUUUCAGACACCUGACUUCUUGGAAGAAACGAGUCUACGAGACGUUGGUAUUUUGAAAGAAGAUUUCGGCGAUUUAGGAAAUUUCGGCAACAUUUUUGUUGAUUCAGUUCGGGAUUUCGGGUUCGGUUCCUCUGCGUGGUGCCUGGAUGACCACUUCCAGGACAUCGGCGAUCUUUUCAGUUCGGAUCCUCUGGUUGCGCUUUAGGACGAGUUCGUUUAGGUGACAAAUGACAGUUCGACGUCGUUCCGGUGACAAAGGACAGUUCGAAGUCGUUCCGGUGACAAAGGACCGUUCCCGUUCGUGUUUUGCCUGUUUGACGGCGAGUUUUGUAUCGGCGGGAAAGAAAAUCGGAAUGUGUUUUUUUCUAUUUUUAAUUUAAUUUAAUUUAAUUAAAAAUUUUUUUUAUUAUCAGUUUUGGUUGUAAUUGUUUAUUUAUUAACGUUGAAUGAACAAGAGUUUUGCUACGGUACGGUGCUCUGUUCUUUUUGGGUUUAUCUUCUAAACCCACGUGGCCCGUGACUAACAUACAAGGUAAAAAUCGAUUUAUUAAAAUAAACUUUACCAACCGUCCCAUAAUAUUUUUGCAAACACGUGGAGCAGCACACAUGCUGUGUUUAUAAAUUGAAUUGUAAAAUGAAAAGGUGAUUUUAUUUUGAAUCAGGAUUAUAAGAUUGGCCCGAAUCUAGUAAAAUUCUGACUAGUUCUAGUUCUGGUUGUAAGAUAUAAAUUACAAUCAAUUUGGUGUUGAUUUAUUUUAUAUAGCUAGCAGUGCACUCACUUCCGGUUCACUGAAAUGGUGGGGGGCAAAUAGGUGAAACUGACAAAUGAUGCUAUUUGUACCUAACGUUUUGAAGUUGGCAAAGAUUGCAUUGGUUCAUUUAUUGUAAACUCUCAUUAAUAUCGUUUGGUAUAGCUAUUUAUUCAUGUCAUUGACUAAUAACAUAUGACAAAAUUCUCUUUCUCCGCUACCUAAUUUUUUGGCAUUACACCUUAUGAUGGACAUGACUGUAAUUUCUCAUUGUUUCUAAUUUUAAAGGUAUUUGAAGAAAUCAAAUUAUUUUCUUAAACGUUAGCAUGUAAUUUCAAGCACUGAAGUAUCUUGAUAAAGCGGAUAUUAUACGCACAAACGCAAAAAUGAGUCUCUUUUUUAAAAGUAUAAGUACAAUAUGUACACGAAACAUAAUCAAGGUAUCAUGAUUUUGUGUUUGUUUCAGAUUCAUGGGCAGACUUUUGAUGCCCAUUUGGUGGAGUAAGAUUCUGUAGCGCAAUAUUCCAACUAAGGAUGAAGGAUUUAAACCCUUUUUUAGCUCUAAAAAGGGAUUUUUGGAUAAUGAACAAAUGACAAAUGUAAUUAUCAUUAGUAGAUUAAGUAAUGGUCUAAUCGUGAUCAACCCAAUAAUUACAAUAAAAUUAAAGGAAAAAAAGGUGCUCAAAAAAUGGGAGGAGAGAGUGGGAAAUCCGACUAGGUGUUUAUAUUCAAAUGAGACGUGGCACGUUGUGAUGGAAUUAGGGAUGUGGAAAUCCAUGCUCAUCAUGGUGGCAGUGUUAUGGCUGUUUUGGCUGGAGGACUUGGUAUUUGUAUAUUACAAAUUGUGAUCCAGAUAGUGGCUUUUCAUGCAUCUCUUGGGGGCUUUGGUUUGCACACACGUAGAUAGAUACAUGUAUAUGUAUAUAUAAUUUGAUUUGGUACAUUACAUCAUAUAGAGUGGCCAAUUUGGGGUCCGAGACCAAAAAAUAGAUUUCUGGUCAAUCACGAAUUUACAGGUACAUCACAAAUGAUAACAUUUUCACUUGACAUAUUGAAAUUCACCAAAAAUAGUAAAUUAAUAUUAUCCUCAUUUCAGACAUGUUUUUCUGCUCCAAUUGAGCUCUCUCACUUGUGUGUUUUGUCUGCUGGUAAAAUUUAGAAAGAAAAAAAGAGAGCAUCUUCUAGGGGAUAGAAAGAAAAGGGAAAAAGAGAGUAAAGGAGCACAUAACAGGAAAAGGUCAUGUUUGACUAUCUAAUUCUAAAGCAUGAGUUGGGAGCUUCAUAUACCCAUCAUAGUUUGACUUUGGAGAGUAUCUCAAGAUUAAAAAUAUCUCUUUGUUAAUUUUAUUUAUUAUAUGAUAUAUGUUAAGCAUUGACUAUUCGAAAUUGUUUUUUACAUGACAUAUUAUGUUGUUAGACUGUUAAUCGAAAUUGUUCGAAGUAUAAGUUCGAAUUAAUAGUCACUGAACUCUUUAUAUUUACCAUAGUUGUUAAAAAACCAUACAAAUUUUUUUAUUUUUUGGGUGACAAAAGGGAGUGAGGGCUAGAUCAAUGGUCAUGGUUGGAUAAAAAGCAAUCCAGUGGUCCAUGAGAUUGUCCAGAAUGCCACCAUAUAUUUUGCCACAUUUGUGGCUCACAGUACAGACCCAACUGCAGCUAGCAGCAGCUGAAAACUCACUCUGGCUGGCUAACACUAAGAUGCCCCAAUCCACAAAAGCCAAAAGUAUGCUAGCUUAUUCCUCAAACAAGAGCCAAAAUAUUUAUUAAAUAGGUUUUGGCCACACUGAAAAUAAACCUGAGCACACCCUGCCCUCGUUGGCUUGCUUACCUAAUAUAACAUUGACAAAUAUACCCUGAGAGACCCAAUGUGUCUUUUUCUUUGUUUUCUUUUCACCCUGCCUGCCAAUCUAUUUGGAUUUUUUCGCAUUUCGAAGGCCCUUUUUAUUUUAUGGGUUUUCUUUUCUAGCUAUAUAUACACAACUUUUGUGACAAAUUCUAUAUUUAUGAGGGAGAGAGUACUGAGGUGUCACUUUCUGGUAGAUCAUGGAGUUUAAGUGUUGCAAAUGCAAAGCUUUUGUACUAAUGGAGUGAAAUAAGAUUUUACUGAGUAGGUCUCUAUGUCCUGUGGCAAGGUUCAGUGUCAGAGCGAGGAAUUGAUUUUAGAAGAAAUUUCUUGUAAAAUAUAAAAAUAAAGAGAAUAAAAGCAUAAAGUUUUUGAGUUCUCGUAAAGCUUUUUGGGCGUUAUUUUCAGCCUCCUGUUAGGAUACUCAAGGACUUGUUAGCCCAAUUAAAGCCUUAGUUAGGGACAACAUAAUCCAAUUCCUUCUUGUAUUUAAACUUGGGUCCCUACAAUCAUAUGCAUCUUAUGAAUAUGAACAUUAAUUAUGCAACUUCUUUGGUUUAACGUAGAACUUGAUAACAUUAAUAUUUCACAUAAUUUAAAAUAUUAUCAUUGCUAUUGUGUAUUUUGAGUUAUAGGCACAACUAAGAUCAAAACAACAACUAGCAAAAAAAUUAAUCUCAGUUGAAUCAUCCUAGUCUUAUAAUCAUCAACAAAGAUGAUCUCUAAACCAACAUUAGGAUCGCCACGAAGAUGGCGCUAUGGCGCAACUACACACGACAAAAUGCCAUUCUUCUCUUAUUAGGGGGUUACCUUGUGCAAUUAACUUCUAAUUCUGCAAAUCCAGCAAACUAUAGCUAGCCAGCAGUUGCCUGGUUGAAAAGCUUCAAUCUUUGGAGUUCAAAGUUUGCAUUUAAUAGCUUUACUCACAUUGAAUUGAGACAAAAUCGUACAUGUUUCUGGAUUUCAAGUUUCAACUACAGUCAGGUACACAUUAAAAUAUAAAUGCAUGAACCAACCAACCAAACCAAAUGCAGAAUGCCAAACCAAAAUCAAAAUAUCACCCACCAUGGUCCAUACCAAAUUCAUUUCAUCAUCAACCCCUGAACCUGAAAAUUUGUACCUCAAACCAAACCAUCCUUUUUUUUAUUUACAAUUUUUGUUUUUAAUAAUUUGGGUUUUCUCCAAAUUUUUUAAAAUACCCUUGUGACUUGUUUUUAGGGUCAGCUAGCUACCCCUCACCUCAAGCUUUGUCUGACUCUGGGCUAGGCCGCCUCUGCCCCCUCUGUCUGAACACUCAAAAAUAUAAGGAGAGGUCACAAGACACAAAACACAUGCUAAAACCCAGCCCCACACAAAAUUAAUUUUUCUUUCAUGCGUGAGAGAGAGAGAGAGAGAGACAGAGGGGCGCAAAUAAAUCUUCUUCUUCAAGCAUAAAGCUCCAAACUUUUGCAGAUUCACUGAGGGCAACCACAGCCCCCUAGAAGAUCUUCUUUGUUUCCCACCUCCAUACGAUCAAUCAGGGCCGUACACGUCAUGUCAGGCUAACGGUUUUGAGCCAUCACCUCGAGCAGCGCAGCGCAAGCGUUGUUGCAACUGGCCUUUUCGCCUUUGCCUUGGGCCCCAUUGCCCCUCCUGGUCCCCCUCCAGCUCAGACUUCACUGUGUCUCUGCCCGCUGAUUGCGAUUGCGGCCCCACCAGCUCUCAUUUUGUUGACGUGGCCGUGGAUUUUCGAUGAGGGUAAAGAUUUAGAUUUUGGGCUCACGCUUCAUGACAAAGGCCCACCAAGUUAUGGGCUUUUGUGGCCCAUUUGUGAUGUGAGGCUAAGAUUUGCCAUGGCAUGGGAUGAGAUUUGGUAGAGCUUUCUUUUCUCCGCGUCUAUAGUUUUAUGGGAUUUGUGGUUCUAAAAUCAAGCCAUGCUUUUUGGUCAUAUUCAAAGAUCAAUAGCAAAUCCAAAAAUAUCUCCUCUCUUUUUGUCUUUUGUUAGUUAUAUGAUGGACAAGAUGUUUGGAUGUUGCAAUGGUAAGCAUUUUUUGUUUAUUUGUUAAAUUUUGGGGGACUGCCAUGUCAUGGUUGCGCUUGUGGGAGCUAACUCCGUGAGUUCGAUGCUGGAUAGUUCACUCAAAUUUUUUUCAAAAUUAGGGUUCGUAGUGUUUUUCUAACUAUUCUCUUUAAUUAAGGAGGAAGGGGGAUUUAAAUUUAGGAGCUAUGGAUCUUUCGUCUCCCAAUCAAGUCGCCCUACUAGCAAGGGCGAAACUAUAAAUUUUUUGAAGGGUGGGCUAGUAACAAAUUUUUAGCUUAAAAUCUAAUGAUAUUUUUUAAUAUAACCACACUAGUUCAUAGUCCUAUAAACUAAUUUCCAAUAAGUUGAGCAUAUAACAAAUACAGAUUAAAUGCAACGAAAGGGUUAACACAAGAACAAUGAAAAAAUAGCCAAGAAGACCACAAAACAGACGUUGGAAAAAUAAUAUUCCCUAUUCAUAGAAAUAGUAGAGAAACUGCCAAGAAGACUACAAAAUGAGAGUCUUAACCACAAGUGAGAACGACAAGUUGAUAGGUUAUAUAGGUUUAAUUUUGUUUUUCUUUAAAAACAACAUGGGCUGUACUGUAAUAGGGUUUCUUUCAAAUAAAAAUCUUCAAAAAGCUACUUGGCCUACAGCAUAGGGUAGCCUUAUAGGUAGUUCUAUCCCUGCCUACUAGGUGUUGGCAGUGUUGCUUGUGGGUAUGAUGUGCCUCUAAGUCUGUAACUAAUGUGAGAGGGAGGCUGUCCCCCAAUCUAAAUUUAUAGCUUCCCAUUCCGUCCAAUCUUAUAACCAAAAAAUAUCCACACAAUAUGUGCAUCGUAGUAAUUGCCGAAAUUAAAAUCUGAGGUUCUAUUUAUGCCAAGUCAUGCAAUGUGUGUGGAAAAUUAGGCAGGUCGGGUCAAAUGGGUAUCAAGUUGAGAGAGCAAUCACCCGACAGCAAAAGUGAUGAUGCAGAAUAUUGAGUGAGAUUUCCUCUGUGGGUCUCCCUUUGGAUACGCAUCUACAUACAUGCAGGCAUUGAUAUCUCAUGAUUUCUGCUGCUUCAUAUUCAAUAUAAAACCCCACACUCCAUCAUGCACUUCAUGUGCCUUUCUUUAUCCAAAUGUUUUUUUUUUCCUAGUUAUUUUUUCUUCUUUCAUUUUGGACCUCACAUAUUUUGGUUUAUCCCGAAUUGGCUGUGUCUUGAAGAGUGCCAGUUCCAUGCCCCUGGGCUUUUUCUUUGGGCUCAUAGUUGGACUCUACUUGUUUUACACCACUAUGGAAGCCCAAUUACAAAUAAUUUUCUUGCCUUUGUAGCUGGACUUUGGCAGAAACCAUAAUUCCAAACCAAAAAAUUAAGGGGAAGAAAGAAGACGAGUAAGUAUAAGGAUCAUGCAAUUGUGUUGACCGUUAUUUGGUAUAUUGUACUGAAUUUAUUAAAUUGGAUAACAGUCCAACAUACUAUGUUUUAUAACUUCAAUCUCUUCUAGAGGGGUGAGAUUCUCAAGAACUGGUUUGAACUAAACUUUAAUUUAGUUCAAAUCAAAUCAUGAAACGAUAACAUUUUAAAAAAUAUGAUAGAGACAAUCAGGGUUGUGUGUAUUUACAACAAUAACUCUGGGUUUUUAAAAAAUUAUUAGAAUUAUUUACUGUAACUUCAAUACAGUACUUCCCAAAUAAUCAUCUCUUAAACAUGGUAGAUAUAACUCAAUAUAAUUACAUGAUAUAUGUAGGGAUUCUUUAGAUGAAAAGAGAGAAGAAGAUGGUUAACAAGCCAGAAGCCAUGCCAGCACUUUGGAUGGCGGUGGCUGAUGACUUAGCAGGUGCGGGUGCUGCAUCCAAGGCUGAUGACUUAGCAGGGGCGGCAGCGGCGGUAUCAGGCGCGGCGGCGGUCUUGGUAUCUUUGGAAACGAGCUUGAAUGGGAAAACUUUGCCAGAUGAGCCCUUCUGGUUGACAACCUUGACGUAGAGCUUUUGGCCAGCCUCGCAGUGCUUGCCAACGCCGCUGUAGUAGUAGUUGUCUCCUGUGGUUGUGAAUUUGAUGAUGGUUGGCCCAUUGUAGUACAUGUAGAUCACAUUUUUCUGAGUGCAUCUAUCAAAGUCUUCCUUGUUGACCACUACCACGUUGCCGGAGCCAGGUCUGUAUGGGAAAACUGAAAUUUGGACCACGCAUUCAGACAAAUUAAUAAACAUCAUUAAAGAAAAACAUGGGAAAAAAGGCAAUGAAUUACACUUACCAAGUCUAUCACCAACACCAAAGGUUCUUGGAAAAGCCCAGUCCUGAAAGAAAGUUUUGUUGGGAGGAGUAGUCCAGCCAGCACUUCCUCCAACAAUGUGAUCCAUUGCAGACACUGAUCCCAUCCAGAAACAGCCUAUUGCUGCCAACAUGAACACUGCAAGCUGAAUCGUCCCCAUUUUCUUGCUUCCCUGCCUUCUACCUAUUGAUUUUUUUUGUUUUUUUUUUACUUUAGUGAGCCGCCUGUGUGUUGAAGGAGGGGAUCACCGUAAUAAUAAGAGGUAAAAAAAACUUAAUUGUAAUAUAUGUCUGUGUGCCUUCAACACCAGACGGCUAAAAGAACAGUGAAAUGGGUGCCUUCUAUUAAAAGUGUUUGGAGGUGCUAGCUUGUAUGAUAUUGCAUGGAAAAUGCUUGGUAUUUUAAGGUUUUGGAAAAGGUCAACCGUUAAUACGGUUACAAAUAUGAGAUGGGGAUUUGGCCUAUUUUCAGAGGAGAAGAGUGUUUUUAGCUCUCAAAUUAACCAUCUGUAUGCAGUGUUGUAUCUAAUUGUGGUAAAAAUAUCAACUACCUAAUUGAAGAAUCAGGUGUCUUGUUCAGCCUUAAUAAGCAAUUUGCUAAUUAAUAAACAAUUUACAGGGGUUUAAGGCCUCAAAAUCGAGUAACAGUAUUUGGUUGUUUGUGAUUCAAAUGUACUGUUGACAUAUUUGAAACGAAAUCAUCAUUUUCAGGUACUUCAGAUUGACAUUAAUCUAUUAUGACGAUAUUGUCAGUUAUUACUCUUGUCAAUCAUGAGCAUGUUAAUUUUAUCAAGAUGACUUCCAGCCGUUGAUGCAUAUAAAACAAUACAGUAACAAAUUGAAAUAAGAGUUACCAGCAUUACAUGCAUCACUGGCUUAGAAUCACUCACUUAUAGGCAGGAACUGCCUUUAACAUUACCACCACAUGUUACAAUUGACAAACUCUUCAAGGUAGGCAAUACUCAUUAGUCUACCAAGAUUCGACACCUAACUUAAUAAAACAUGGCUGAGUUAGACAGUUAGACCCGUAUCAUUUCGGUAACCACAUAUGCUUGCCCUAUUGAAAGUAUUAUUUCUUAAACAUGUUUUGUAUAUUUUGAGAUGUUUUCGUUAUCGGAAAGAAAAAUAUCAUGGUUAAGAUCUACUUGGUAUAUGUUAUGUUUUAUCUACCUAAGUGCAAAUGUUUUCAAGAGUGUCACAUGUUUAUGUCUCAACAAUACACAUGUUUACUUUCAUCUUGGACAUGCUUGUCAUUGCAACAUGAUUUGGAUUUCAAAUUUUCCAUAUUCAGUAUUUGGUUUGAUUGUAGGGUGUGUUGUUGGAUGUAACAAAUGUAUCUUUUUUAUUUGCAUAAUAUUUUUCACUUUGGUAGUGAGGGAAAAUAGCGUUUUCGUGUUGCUACAACCCACAUUUGAAGCAUAAAGUUCUGUCAUUAGUCAUAGCCACAAUUUUGAUUUUAGAGAAUUUUUUCCAAUAUAGUGAAGGAAAAUAUCACUGAAUCAAUAAUUAAAUUUAUAAGACAAUACUUUCGUAACUAGUAAUAAAUAUUUAUAACCCUAAAAUAAAAGUAAAAAAAUCAUGAUAAUGAGCUGUAAUAGGUAUAAACAGAAAAGUAAUACAGCCUAUGUAGCACAUACACUCCAUCAAGCUGAAGUGUCUGAGUGUCUGAGUGUCCGACACGCAGACAUGCCUCGAACACCCCUCAACGGUCAAGAUGCGUUUUGAACACGGUGAACUGAAGUCAAGAAAGGCAGGGACCAUUUUGGAAAUUUUGAAACAAAAACUGGGGUCACAACAAAUUAUUGAAACAGUUGUGGGCAUAUUUGAAAUAGUUUUAAAAAGUGGGUUUUUCUUCUCUCCUAGCCAGCUGCAUUUUUCAUUGAAAAAAACCCAGCUUUUCUUCUCUCCCUCUCCACAUAUUCUUUCUUCUCAUCUUAUUUUAAAUUACUUGAAGUUGAAACAUCAAUAAAUGCUUACAAACUGCUAUAGGUGAAGGCGAGGGACUAAUUUUUUAUUAUUUAUUUUCUCAGUUUUAUCAGAUUUCUGGCGUCAAUUUUUUGUUUAAAUAUUAUUUUUUUUCUUUGUUCCUUUGUAGGAGAGCUGAUAUUUUUGACUAACUAAAGAUAUUUGAUAACAAUUUGGUCGUGAGAGAAGCAUCUUUUUGAGUGGGGUACUUCAUUCACUUUGUUUCUUUUUUCUUUUUCUUUUUUUUAUUAUUUAUUUAUGCUAAGUCAAUUUUUAUUUUAUGAGGUGGGAAAUCGUUUUAUGUGUGAAUAAACAUGUAUAUAGUGCUUUAUUUUACUUAGGGAAAGAUGAGUAAUGCUAAUUCAAAUAAGGCCUCUUUUCAUGCUCAAUCAUAUUUUGGAGUACAUUAAUUAUUAUGUAUAAAUGAUGAAUAUGAAUAUUUUAUUUUGUUUUAUUGUAUUAUGACAUUAAAGUAUUGAGUAUGAAUUUUUUUUUUUUUUAAUAUAAGUAUAUAUUAUUAUAAUUUUAUUAUGAUUUAUUUUUAUUUUAAGUGUCGUGUCCCUAUAUCCGUAUUCGUGUCUUAAUUUUUAAAAUUUUUCCGUGUUGCCGUGUUGCGUUUUUAUGUCCCUGUAUCCAUAUCCGUGCAACAUAAAGUACAGCCUACCCGAUCAAAAAAGAAAAGAAAAGCAAAGUAGUACUGUACAGCCUAAUUACCAAAAAUCUAGUCAUACAAUUUUCCCGACUCAUUUGGAAAAUGAAAAUGCUCCCGCGAGAUCAUUCCCAUCGAACUACUAAGGAAACGGUGUCGUUUACUACAAAAGAAGGGAAACAAGGGAAACGCGGGUCAGAGGACCGACAUUGACUAACUUAUGCGCCAAGGCGGGACUGCCAAUUUUUCUCGCUUUUUUUUUUUCCUCGAGAACCAAACAAUCAAAGGAAAAAAACUAGCAAAGAGACUCUGCAAGGGUUUAAUUGGAACUCUAAAACCCUAAACCUUGAAAAGGCUACAGAGAGAGAGCAAUGGAGGACGGUCGUGGUAAGGCGGUGUGCGGUCAGGAGGCUCUGGAUCUGCUAAACUGCGUCACCCAAUCUCCUUUCGAUCAAGAAAAAUGCGUCCGCCUCUUGAAUUCCUUGCGGGAAUGCGUGCUCAACAAGGUCACCCACUCCCUCUUUCUCUCUCAAUCACAUUCUUUUUCUUAUUUCCUCUCUCUAUUUUGAAUUGUUAUGUAAAUUUGUUGCAUAAUUUGUCUCUAAUUGGUUUUUUGAUUUUGUUUUUGUAAUUGAUCAAAUUAGUCACUCAUAAUUGAGAAUGCCUUUAGGGUUGGAUUGCCAAAUCAGUAUUUCUCUUUUCCCAUUGAUUGAGUGAAUAGGUUAUAUGAUUGUGGAUUCUUUUUACUUAGGUCCUGUUGGGUAAAAUUGAUUGAAAAAAGGGCUAAGAUGGAAACCCAGAUUGCACAAUAUUUAUGCCUCUUUUUUCUAGGGAAGCAUGAAGCUUGUUUAUGUUCAAAGACAAAAUCCUAUCACAAUAUUCCGCUUAAAACCAGUUUAUAAUGCAUGCUUGAACUAAUUAAACUGCUUCAUGGUCCUGGUUUGUUUAUUGUCUAAUGAAAUAACUAGCAUAGCCUAAGCUGACUGAUGACUGGGACUCUGACUCUUCCAGGCAGUUUCUUUUCCAAUUAUUUGUAGUGUUGAUGGGAUCUAAUCUUAGGGAAGCCAUUUAAUUUCGGGAAGGCGUUUUUAUGCAACUGGAGUUUUUUAAAGUCUUGAACUUGACACCAAUGUUUCCUCAAGUCAAUUCAUUUUUUCUCCUUCUAAUGAAGUUCUAUGACAUUGAAGAUGAGGGAAUUGAAUUCAAGUAGCCAUGAAAAAGGGCAAUUAGCUUCCCGAUUUCUUUUGGGUUUUCAAGUUAUGCCAAAUGCUGUUGAGAAAUCAAGCCUAUAGAUGCUCUUUUAGUCUUUCACAAAUAUUAAACAGCUCCAAAGUCAAUAUUAACCAUAGAAAUUGUGAUUCCUUUCAAGCUGUUCAUUGUGUAACGUUUUUACAAUCUUGAUAGUUGAGUUGCUAUGAGCUUAUUAGGCCAGUGGCCUUACCUAGAUGUAUCGUUCUAAUUUCUGAAGGUAAAUUUGUGUUUGCAUAUGCAAACACUCACAUGUUUCUUUUUUCCUAACAGAAAGUGAAGAAGUUUUCACUAGCUGACCAGGAACAGAAGGAUGCAAAGCCAAUUGACAAGAAAGCUUGAUUGCAUUCGGUAUUGAUAGGAUUGCUAGGCCUGAGGUCUUUUCUCAUGUCAACGACUCUUUCUUUCCCCUCGUCCAUUUUUAUGUUCGACAAUUGUUGAGGUCAUAUUAUCACGUAACUGAUGGUUGUGUAUCUGAGAUCAGAAACCCUCAUGCCAUUGAUGUUUGCAAAAUGUUAUAUUGAUCUGGAUCUUCAGGGCAUUUCAUUUGGGAGUUUAGACGGAUGGCGCCCCUUUUUGUAGUAUUUGAAACUCCCAUUUAUUAUUAUGUUAAAUUUUAUUCAAGAGGGUCAAAUCUUUUCAUUGUAAUAGUUAUAUUAAUAGAGGAAUGCCAACAGCUUCACUGCUAAUUUCAUCUGAUGUUAGGCCAUAUUAUCUCAUCCGGAAAAUCAAUCCUAACUUUCUUCUCGCAGUAAAUCAAACCUUUCCUUCCUCUUCUACUUUUGUGCUUCAUGUCGUUCGGUAAACGGAUUUGAAAUUGAGAAUAUGAAUAUGGAAAUGCAGCCGCAAUUCCUUGACCAAGGGCACUAGAGCUAGGAACUUUAUGAAGCCCUGAUUGCAAGCAUGGGUUUUGAAAGAACAGAGCCAUGGAAGCGAUGCUCCAUAUAAGAAAUGGUAAAUAUGAAUGUGAAUUAGACCAACAUGCAACAGAGUGAUGACACUAGCAUCAGCCACCAAAGCCCCAACAACAGCAAUUUGUCAAAGUAAAGAAUGCUACAUGCAAUGUAAUCCACAACCCUGAUCAGGCAUCAUCGGCCCAAGUCUUAGACUAAACAAACACUCCUAACCCUGAUUCCAUCCGUUCCCUCCGUCGUCAUGAGCUGAGUUUAGAAUACAGGAACGUCGGCACUGUGGAUGAGGUAUGUGAGCACGAGGGCCAGCAACAUUAGCACGCACGCAAUCCCUUGGUCAAGGGUUGUCCCUGAAAAUAAGAUGUGAGAAAAUCCCAGUUCACAGAAGAUAUAAUCAAAUAGAUGCGACAAAUGCAAUCACAUUUCCAAGACCCCAUAAAAGAUUUCAACCUAAAGAAGCCUCAUAUAAACGCAAAGAACCAAAUGGGUUCACCUAGAUGGAUCCCCUUUUGCAAUAUGUUACAAUGUAAGGCACACAUUCUUUCUCUAUUUGACUCUUGUUUAUCUAAAGAAACAAACAAAUUUUUUUUAAUUUUAAAAAAAAGGCAUGAUCUCAUGAACCAAAACCAUGAAAUUUGAGAUCCAAAGGAGCUUAAACUAAACUAAACUAACCAUCGGUGCCGCUGUGACUGGGAGCCGGGGCGGGACCCGGAGGCAGAGGUGUUGCCUGAACAGCAGAGAUGGCAAUAGCAAAAACGAGAGCAGCAACAGCCACAACACCUAAAGGCCUGGGAAGAACGGCCAUUGUUGUUGCUCUCUCUCUCUCUCCCCCUCUCGGAGACCCUGCAACAAAAUGCAAAUGGCUGCUCCCGAGAGGCCCCCUCGGAGAAAGAGAGAGUGACACAAAUAAUGAGGGGGUAGAGAGAAGAAACCCAAAGAGCCAAACGCUUCUGAGACCAAUGGCGCUUAUUGUAGGCAAAAAGAGAGAGAAAAUGGUGAGAGGAAGAGGCUUUCUGUUAUUGUGUUACAAUUUUGGGCAAGGCCCAGAGACAAAGCCGGUAAUGCCGCUAGCAUCGUGGGGGUGGGGUCCACUGUCCAUGCGCCUGUUUCGGUGAUUGUCUGAGUGAGAGAGAGCCUCUGAGUUCUUCUGCCUGCCCAUCCCCCAUCCCCAUGUAACGUACAGAACCUCAGCCAGGGAAAUUUUUUAAAUUUUUGCCAAUUUUUUUUCUUCUCACCAUUUAAAAUAAUUUUCUUGGAAAUUUUCUGAAACCAUUUAAAAGUAUAACUGUUGAAUAGUGCUCGUACUUCGGUAAGUCCUACGAGAAUUAUAAGUCAUUUUAUUUCAAAUUUUGAAUAUAUGUAAUCACUCACAAGUCACACGUAUUGGUAAACUUGAAUAUUAAAUCAUCGUACACCAAGAACGGAUUCAGAAUUUCAAAAUGAAACGGGUUAAAUUUACUUUACGUACAAAACUUAAUUGCAAAUCCCUAAUUGAUAAUUCAUAACAUUGAAUUGAAAAUUCCUAAUUGAUAAUUCAUAACAUUGAAUUGAAAAUCCCUAAUUUAUACUUCUUGAUCUUAAAAAAAUCCCCAAAUUUUAGUAACAAUAAAUUGAGGAAAGAAAACUGUAGGAUUCCACCAAUAAAAUAAUUUUUUUUGCUAACAUUCAACCAAUAAAAUAUGACACACCAAGAAAAUUGAAUAUGUUAAAGGGUUGAUGCGUGAUGUGGGGAAGGCUGUAGGGUGGGCUACAUGUGACUUUGGGCUGGAAAAUAAUAAAAGCCACUUGGGCUAUAGCCCCAGGUUAACCUGUGGUUUGGUCCGUCCCUGUCGUUGACGUUAUUUAUCAUUAUGUUCAUUGAUUUUUGAGUAUUUAGUUAUGUGUGUGUGUUUGGAUGCAUGAUUCAUUUUCUAAUAGUGCAUUCAGCUAAGACUCUAUCUACCUAAUGAGUUUGGGAGGUGAUACAAAAGUUGUAGACGUUGAUGCUUUUGGUCAUGGAUAAUAGAAAGUAUAAAGAUUAAUCUAGCAAAUAAUUAUUGGACAACAAUAGUUUGUGAAACCUUUUCAUUGUAAAAGAUGCAAUGGUUCUCAUGCAUUCUUUUGCUUUAAAACUUCUUGGUGAUGUUAAGAGAGAAAAAGGGCCAUGGAAAAUGACUGUGCUGUAAACUGUUUUUUUUUGCAAACUGCAUCACGUCUGUAAAUUUGUUUAAUUUACAAGUGGUUUCGGAUUCAUGAGAUUUUUUGUAGAGAUGAUUUUUGAGGGAAUAUCUAAAAAUUAGACAGUUCGAAUCAUUAAAAAACAAUGUGUAAUAGCCUACAAGUAUUUGAGGGAUCCCUCAAUUGAAACUCACAAUGCUAAAAAAAAUCUGACCUAGUGGCUGAUCUGUAUUGCUGGAUAUAAUGGAAUUCAAUUUUGACUUCAAACACCCUAAAAGGCAAUCUCCCUGUCAAAUUAAACUCUUGACCUUUACCAAGUUGGCCCUCUAUCUCUAUGCUACUAGACCUGGAAAGAGUCCUCACACAACCAUUCAAUGAUGAUCAAGUGUGGGUAUGUUGCUUAAUGAUAAGAACACCAAAAUUAGUUUUAUUUUAUUUUUGAUGAAUUAAUAUAAUAGUGAACCUGUCAUAGUUAUGCAUCAUCUGGUGGAUAAACAUCUAAUUAAUCUCUCAUCCAUCCAACCAUAAAUGAAGCUCAACGGCAACUAAAAUCACCACACAUCCAUGUCAUCCAUCUGCCUUCAUUUCAAACAUAAUAUUUCAAUCAUGCACGUUAAUGCACUGCAUUGCAAGCCAAAACCAACCUCUUGUUUCUUGCAGCUCAUAUUACUUCUGCCAUCUCUUUCUCAAAUUCAAUCACAGCAAACCGAAGAUCAGCGCGCUAUGGUCUAUCAUCAUGUAUCGUUGUCGUUGCUAGGAAACUAAAAUGAUCAAGGCAAAGAACCAUUAAUAAAAGUGGGAUUAAUAAGUUAUCAGAAAGUCAUGCAGAACUCCUUAGAAUAAUUAUAAGGCCCUACUGCUUAACAUUGAUCAUCAAAAAGACAGAUUUCGUGCUAAUUAGGCAGCAGGCUAGGAACAUUCUAGUAACAAUGAAAUGAUAUAAAAGGCUAUUAUUGAUCUAACAUUGCAGAGGAAGAUGGCUGCACCUGCAUCAAUAAAGACAAAUUUUAUCUCCUGUUUUGUAAUUUGUGUCAGAAUAUGUGUGCCGUGGAUGAGAGGUUAUGUGUUGUUUUCAUAUUUAUUGAGAAAACCUACUAUGAAGAAACUAUAAAACCCAAAUCCACUCUACCUACCUGUGAUGGCAUCCUUUAUCUGAUUUUUAAUUUCUAUAUAUAUAUAUAUAUAUAUAUUUUUGUAAAGCAACCCAUUAUCACAAUUUUUAUUUUUAUUUUUGUACAAAUUUAUAUCCAUUUUAAAUGUAAUGUAAGCGUGUAUCAAACUGAUGUUAAUAGCCAUCAAGUUAUAUUAUGUGGAUUAAAACUGUAAUUUUUUUCAUAACCCAGUAAUUUUUUCAUAAAAUGGAAAAAUCAAUCAAACUUGCAACUACUGAAUUCAGGUGAGAGAAAUAAACAUUGCCUUAUUAUAUACACACCCACGUGUGUGUGUCUUCUUUAUGGCUUAUCUGAGGCUGAGUCAUUAAUUUCACCAGAAGAGAACUCGUAAAAUUUCGUUGAGACCUUCUCAACUUUUUUUUUUGGGGAGGUAUGAUUCGAAUUUACGAUAUUUUCCAACGAAAUAGUGAGAAACACCAUGUUGGUAAGACCAUUUCAACUUAAGCAUAAACGACUGCUUCAUUAAGACAGGGAACUUGUGUGUGAGUUGAACUUGAAGGCAUGAAAUGGUGAAGCUGUUAUAGUCUGAUCAAGUAAUUGCAGCAAACAUAACACAUUUAAGUUGCAAACCUUAUUUGAUUACAUUAAAUACAAAAGGACAGAUUAAUAUAUUACAGAAAACACAUACAGUACUUAAGGAUACUGCUAGUCAUAAGUAAUAUUAUAUAGGAUACGAUACCAUAGCUGUUAUACUAUUGUUUCUCAUUCGUACUGGGAAGGCCAAAGGAAGGCCCCCAUGGCAAACUUCCUCUUUUGGUUGACAUCUCCAAUGACUGGCAGGCCAUACUGUUUCAGAAGGCAGUCCAGUUUCCACUCCGGCAUGGUCUCGUAGUCGCGCUUCUGGUACCUCGGGUAGUGCAGAGGCAUCUGGAACUGACAGGUGGUGUUGUUCUUACUGGUUUGAUCAUGUCCUCCGAGCCGGGGCAUAGCGAAGGCAUGGUUGCUAAGGCCAGUUCCAGUACUCAUCUUCUCACUGAUUUUAUUUUCUCAAAUCCACUUAGCAAAUAAAAAACUCAUGCAAAGUUGCUAGCUUGCUAUUUAGUGUUGCAAAGUUGGCCUUUUAUAGGCAUCCUAGAGAGCAAGAGAGAGAGAGAGAGAGCAAGAUUAUUCGAGUAUGUGCUUGAAGACAAGAAAGAGUGAGAGAACAUCUAAUGACUUGAAAGUGAAACAUUUUGUGGAUGGUGAUGGCUCUUUUACCAGGGCAAGCUUGAGGGUUUUGAGAGUCACGAUUCAAAUCCUCAAGUUACAUAGUUACAGCGAAACUUACCUAUCUCCAAAUAAAUGCACAAAGAUAGAAUGAUUAGGAUUCUAUAAUUGAGUUCCAACUGAAACAUCC